UAUUCAAUAAUGUUAUUGGUCCCCCAUGUGCAGAAGGGCGCGCGCGUAUGGAAUAACAAGUAGGGACACUGCAACUAAUCUACUCUGCUCGUCCAGUCCCUAGCCUAUAAAUAGAUGCCAUGCUAGCUCUUGUUGUGCUCACAAUUAAUCCGAUUACACACGAGCUUCUCUCCCUGGCCAAGACACAACCAUAGUAUGAUGAAGAACAUGGCACUAGCCGGCAAUGGUAUGAAGAAGUUAAUCCUCGCUGUUCUCUUACUGUGUCUAGUUAUAGGGCAGAUACAAGUGGAAGCUAAGAGCUGCUGCCCAUCCACCACUGCAAGAAAUGUCUACAAUACCUGCCGUUUCACGGGUACAUCCCGUCCAACGUGUGCAAAACUGUCAGGCUGCAAAAUUAUCAGCGGGAACAAAUGCAAGCCCCCUAACGACCACCUCACCCUUGACCCGGACACUGGUAAAUAAUAAAUUUAUCUCACUUGAUUUCUUCGUGAUUUGAGUCGUUAAUGUAUUUUCCAUCUGAUGAAACGUAUUGGUUUUGCAUUGAAGAGGAAGUUAAUGUGCUUAACUUCUGCAAGUUGGGGUGUGCGUCGUCUGUGUGCAACAACAUCAACGCUGGUAAGCAACUUUUGCUCAGACAGAGAAAACAAUAAUCAUUAAUUAGCGGCAGCUAGAAUCCUAUAAUCUAAUAUAUAUAUAUAUAUAUAAUUUUAUCAGCUCUGGGAAAUGAAGAGGCGAACGAUGCCGUUGAGAGUUGCGACCAAGCCUGCUCUAGCUUCUGCAGCGUGCAUGUUGGCAGCGCCACCGUGGUUGCUUAAGCAAAUGCAUCCAACUAGAUCGUCCUUGUGCUGAAUAAUUGGAUAUCGUAUCCACUUAAAGCUGCCUUGUGUAGUACGUCUUUGUGUCUCUCUUUAUAUUCCAAUAAGGUCGGUGAUCUUGAUGCCACACACUCAGAUGUGUGUUCAUCUCCAGAUACUACUCCAUGCUACCUGCCCUUUGUGUUUUGUUCAAUAACUGGGUAUCAUAUCCCAGCCAGUAUGCCGUCUGUUUUGUGUUUGUUUCCUUCUAGUUCCAAAGGGGUCAUCAUGAUGUUACCUUCUUUCAAUAUGGUGCUUUGCAUGACUACUGUUGUAUGGUACCAUCUUGUGGCCAAUAAGUACAUCUUAUCCUAUGACCUUUGCUAUGACCCUUUGCAAAUAAGUAGAAGAUUGUUAUAAGCGUCAAUACUCCGUAUAAAUUGAUCGCUGCUGUGAGUUCCCUUUCAGCUUAUCGUAGGCAUACAUUAUUGCUAGCACGGUAAAGCCAACCAACACGAAUGAUGAAGUAAACGUAGCGGUACUUCUGUAUACCAACACCCUUACUUAAAUGUACCGGUGUCAUUCCCUACUGGCACAUAUAUUCUUAUAUGCUAGCCAGCUUGUAAAAUUAACCAAUUAAAAUAAUUAUUUCAAGAUAGAAAUAACUUAUCGGUUUCUGGAAGCAUGUGUAAUGUGAAUUCAAGGACUCGACGGAAGUUGAAUCACUUCAUCUAUAUUGCUUUCAGUAUUUUGGGUAACUAAAUUUAACAUUUGCACAUACAAAUGUUAAAGUACAAAUGUUAAAUCUAGUUACCCAAGCAGAAUAUGAAGAUAGUUUAUAGUAUAUAUAUACUAUAUAAAUCUAGUUAACAUUUAGUCUAAAUGUUAAAUCUAGUUACCUAAAAUCCUGAAAGCAAAAUGUAUAAAUAUAUAUCUUUUAAGGCAGUAUAAGCUUCGAUUCCUAUUGCUGCUCUGUUAAAUCUCAUCUUUCGUUGUGGCCCAACACUCUAGUAUGCAUGUUGCACCAAGCUUCUUUGAGCCGCUCUGCCCUCUGAUUUUGCUGCGUAGGGGAAUCUUUAUCAGGUUGGGCUACUUCCAGUUGUGCGAUGUAAAGAUUCGUAUUUUCUAGAAGGUAGACAAAAAACUCGCGUUCUCUUAAGGCAACAACCGGAAGAUUCUGCAGCGCACAGGGCAUACCAUUAUUGUAGAAACGACCUUUAGUACCGAUCUCCAACCCCCUUUAAAACUGGUUUUGCAACCGGUACCGUUAUGUCGGUCCUUUAGUACCAGAUCAAAUAAGUACCGGUUGGUAACCAGUAUCAACUUGUUUUGCGGCCAAAAAAAUAAAGAAAAAAACAGUCAGAAGGCUCGCGCACACGCGCAUCACAUGAAAUAUGCGUGUGCGGGGUCCAUGGGAUUCGAACCCAUGAAAUCAAGCUGCGCGCGACCCUUCGUUACCAUCUCACCUACAUAGCGCAUAUGCUUUCCUGAAGUAACCCGUGGAGGAGGCUUUAGUACCGGGUCAUAACACCACCCGGUACUAAAAAUGACUCUUCAGUACCGGGUCAUAACACCACCCGAUACUAGUAUCGGAUGGUGUAAUGACCCGAUACUAAAAGGCCUCUAGGGACCCUCAAAUUUGAACCCGGUACUAAUGCUAAUAUUAGUAGCGGGUCAAAGUGCAGCCAGAACUAAAGCAUGGGAUGAAAGGUCAUAUUUCUAGUAGUGUAUAGUUGUUGUGAAGGACUGACUUGGCUGUCCUCUCUCUUCUCCAUCCCCUUGGUCUUACGCCGCCGCUCGCACGCGAGCCGGUGCCCAACCAGAGGAGUGAGAGCUAGGGGCAGGUUGGGAGGUGGGGAUAGUGACUGGUGGCCAGGGUGAUGGUUGAUCCUGGUGGGGUUAGGGUUUUAGGGUUUUCGAGCUUCCUAUGGUCGGCGAACCUAGAGGAGGAGCUCAACAUCAGCUGCAACCCGCGAUGGUGGUGGUUUGGCCGGCGCCCGAGGCGAGGCAGCGCGGGAGUGCUGCCGGUGGGUUGGUGUUGGCACUCAUUAUUGACAACUAUUUUGUUCAUAAAAUAACACUCAAACUUGCUGCUGCUGCUGCUGCUGCCAUCGCCACCCUAGCCAUAAUAUAAAGGCAAAAUUUGCUAAAGGACAUGCAAAAUGAUGCUAGUUUGCUGGCGGGCAUCGUUGACCUUGUAAUAUGCUACAAGACACUCUAGUUGUGUAUCAAUUUGCUGAAAGACAUUGCUAUGACUAAAAUAAUGUUUCUGGACUGAGUUGGAGAGAGAGAUGGAGUGAAAUGUCUGUUUUGCCCAUGACCCCACUGGUCAGAUCCUUCUUCUUCCACCCUCCUUUGUUCUUUCUUCAACCAUUACCCAGCUCCAGCGUGUUGCAGAUCUACGAGGGUGGCGGCCUGGGGCGAGGGGCAUCGCUCGCCCUUGGAGGAGCGCUGCGAGCGACGGCGCGGGGGCGGCAACAGCGCGUCAGAACCUGACUGUUCGUUAGCUCCUCUCGCUGCUGGGGAAGGAGGGGGAUGGGCCAUGGACGGGGUUCCCUUGAAAACCUCAGCGUCGAGCUCGGGCGGCUACGCGCAGGCAGCACUAGGCUGCUUCACGGGGAGGGGGCGCGGCCAAUCAUUGGCACCCCACUGGUCCAAUGCUGAUGAAGAUGGUGCCAGCGUCGUGUGAGGACAUCUCAUCUCCUCGAGUUCCAUGGCCAGCACAGGUGAGCUGCCGCUACCACAAAACAGAGGUUUCGUGAGAGUCAAAAAACCUUAUGAAAAUAGCUAAAACCAUCAUGAAAAUAAUCCGUGACAUGACACUCUCACGAAAAUCCUCUCACAAAUAUGGUGCCAUGAAAAUACCAUUUUCAUGAGAGUGAACUGUCAUGAUUUUAUUUCGUGAGAGUAUUUCCUAUCAAUGACCUCCACGAAAUACUUUGUGCCACCAGGUCUUCAAGAUCAUUUUCAUGAGAGCUGAACAUCAGGAAAAGUCCGCCACAAAUGUUUUUCUUGGAGCCCCUAACUCUCAUGAAAAUCAUGCGGGCCGCCACGAAAAACAGCAUGACCAAAUGACAAAUUUCAUUUUCAUGUGUUCAUACCGCCAUGAAAAUGGUCAUUUUCAUGAGAGUUGAUGAAACAAAAAAUAGUGCCAUUUUCAUGAGAGUUCAAGCAACCAGGAAAAGACACUAAUAAACAUCCAGAUCCCAUCCAGCACACAUCCAUGCACAUAUAUAACCCACAUAUUGCUCCAGCACACAUCCAUGCAUAUACAAGAUCCAAAUGUUAAUAUAGUAGACAUCCAUGCCUGAACUAGUCUGCCACACAAGUCAUUGAUGCUACAAAUCCUACAAUCGCAGCAUGUGCAUACAAGUCACAGAAUGAGACAAUGUACCCAAAACUAAAAGGUUAGCAUCAACUGUGCUUCAACCAAAGUUGUCAUCCCAACUCUCCUCUUCAUCCAUGCCAUUCUUGUCGUGGCCGUCACUGUCAGUCCCCAUGGCAUUGCCAAUGCUGUGCAUGUCUUGGUAGGAACCUACAUGUGAUGAACUAGUAACCUGCAAAAAGAGCUCAAAGGAUCUUGUUCUCAUAUUGUAGCUGUGAAAUUCUUACAAGUAGUGUUGCAAUCAGUUCACUUUGAACCAAAAGAGCUCAAAGGAUCUUGUCCUAAAAGUUCCUCAUAAAGCUUAUGGGUUUGCUGGUGGAACUGGAAGGGCUUGAUGCAGCAGAUGCCAUUCUGCAAUAGAGAAAAAUUUAGAGAGCAGUACUAGUUAAAAUUGGAUGCAGAAGAUACACAUGAAACUAGUAUUUAUACAAGUCUAUACAAUUAAAAUCUAAGGAGACUUAUCAUCGUUUUCAUGUGUUGUGAAUUAAAAUAAUGAAGGAUACACUGUUAGGUGAAAAUUCAAGAAACAAAAUUUUGCAUAGAGAUAAAGGUCCAACAUUAUUACAAGUUAAGGUAGUUUUAAAUAUCCUUGUAAUCUUCCUUUGGUUUCCUCAACGAUUCGAAGACAAUAACCUUGCUUCUAUCAAUGAUAAUUAUAAGGAGAAUCCAGUGGAAACUGUGUAUUCGUAUUAGAACUACCUAAGGUUAAUUAGGUUAGGAAAGGAAAUUGAAAAUAGAUGGUACCCACACUUACUUAAAGUUGUCGGGCAAUAGUAUGUAAUGCUUGUAAUUCCGUUGCUCCAAGAAUUUGUAUAUGUGGUCCAAUGUAGACUUUGGUUGAUCCCGUAUCUGCUGUUGGUUAAAUAAGUGUUUCUAGCCAUUUCUAGCCAUUAGAACCGGGACUAAAGGGGGCUCUUUAGUACGGGUUGAUAUUACUAACCGGGAUUAAAGAGCCCCCAUUAGAGUUGGUUUUUGGAUGCGGAACUAACAACUCCUUUAGUCCUGAGUACGAAAACAACUGACAUAUUUGUUGCUGGAUGGAAGGUCCUUUCUCUACCGUGAAUAUUGCCAGAAAGAAUUGAAAGAGACUGCUUGCUAAAAAUAUGUCAUAGAUGUAGACCAAGCUACCAAGGAGGUAGACCAAACAUGAUACACACCAUGCGUACCUUGCUGUGCAGACUAUGCAUUGACAAGAUACCCGACCACAUGUUGGCCUCGGUCACAUCAAAAGAAUCAUGUAGGCCACCAAUAAACUACUUGAAGCGGCAUUCCGUAUCGUAUAUGCAUUGCCGGUUCAUCUGCAUUACAUUACAUAAAGCACUAUUAACUAUUUGAAUAAAAUGAACCAAUUUAAAAGUAAUGUGUUGUACUCUACUAUAGAAAGCCCUAUCACUGCCGGAUCCAAAAACAUCAUUGUUAAUGGUGGUUAAGUACCAAAUAUGACGGUCAAUAUUCUCAAGAAUAAUGGAGAAUUAGCAUUUCUUAGACACAUAUUUGGUUUUGAACAAUGUAGUUCCACAUGUCUUUGGAGAUUAUUUGGGUGUGGGUGAAAUAAUACAAAAAUAAGGAGAAAACACACUCCCAUGGCGAAGAAACACAACUCCAACCAAUGAGAGAUAGCCACAGGGGCAGCACACGGAUCCAUGGGCCCACUAACCGCAUCAAACCAUCUUACCAAGGCAGGUAGCACCCACAACCGUCAUUAGGACCCACCUGGAAGUCUACCAAGAAGAAGGUUGCGAGUGGGGCCAGGAGGGGUUCGGUUGAAUCAUCUCUAGCUAGCUCCCCUCAUCCCCAGCUGGUGGGUGGUGGUGGUUGAUGGUGUCCCUACAUCAGUUAGAGGAGAUUCCCCCAAAUAUUCCUCCUGUAAACCACCUCUAUGGACCUAUACAUAGAGGGGUGUGCUCUCCAUUCCAACACACACCACAAGUUGAAUCACUCUCUCCCUCUUUAGUUUCCAAGUUUAUGGAGUUAGGCUAGAGUAGCUCUGCUCAAGGUUCCAAGUCCACUUGGAGUUAAGCAUAUGUCUCUUGUAUCGUUAUUUCCUAAAUUGACUUUAUGCUUAGUUCUUAUAUGCAUGAGUUAGUCUAAUACCCUUGCUAUAUUGAUAUGCUCGGCUUAUAUGCUCGUAUGCUAGUCAUAUACCCUUGCUGUCGUAGUAUAGGCUUAUAUGCUCUCAUGUGUGCCUGUAGACCUUGCUAUAGUAUAUACUUGUUGUGCAUACAUACCAUGUAUAGGCUAGUCGAUCUAUACCAUGGCAUUGGUUCAAUAGCCAUGUUUUUGGUGGCUCCAACCCUAGUCACAAUAGCUCGGGACAGCUGGAGUGUUGUUAAAAAUGCAAGAGUGGUGCUUGGGUUGUUUAGCAUCGUUGGAUAUGGGUUUGCCCCACGGGUUUCUAACGGUAGGCGGCAGCUAGUGACAUCCCUGUCCGUCCUUCGUAAUCCCCCCACAUUCAGGUACGCCAUAAAUGUUCGUAAAUUAGCAGUAACUACGCCGGUACACCUGUAGGGUAUUGUCUCCCUGUAGUACCUUGGUGCAUAGAACUAAGUCCUAUACACUGUGUGUGUAUGUUUACGCUGAUAUGAUCUGUGCAGUAUAUAGGAUGUAUAUAUGAACCUAGAGCUAACUCCUAGUCCGUUCUCCAUAGCUUAGUUAUCUUGAGAUGAUUCUUCUGUAUGUGUAACACUACCCAUCUUAUCAUUAUCCUUGAUCCUGUCUUGUGUAAUAUAUCUACUCAUCCUAUGAUAUACUCAUAUGCAUAGUAAACUAUUUUGACCUACCCGCCUUCCUUUGGGAAAUAUGAUACCUUGGAAUAAUCCUAGGUGAAAUCCUACAACGGUAUAUCCAUGUAAAUGCGGAUUUAUUCAUGACCAUUAAAUAUACCAACAAUCAUCACUGUGAGUUUUGGGCGUCGUUAGUGAAGGGUUGGUAGUGAUGGGCAUCCCCUUCACCAAUGGACCUGGAACCGGCGGUGAUGGCUAUUAUAAAAAAGGGGACACCACCCAGCGUACCCCACGACCCGGCCGGCCGCACCUCCCAUCAUCCCCGCCAGCCGCCCUUCCUUUUCGCCGGCCGAGCAUGGUCCCGGCCUUUGUCCCUACCACCUCGCCUCCACCGCGACCCCCCGCCGAUGCCCUCGUGCCUGGCCCCCCUCAUCUUGCCGGCCACCCUCCCGAUGCGUCCACUGGGGCCCUCGCACCACCAACCGCCCUUGCUUAGAGAGGGAGAGAGAGGAGGGAGGUGAGGCCACGCACCUCGUCCUACACCGCCGCUGUUUCUCCUCGGCCCACCGCGCCUCACCCCACACCACAGCCGCGCCUUGCCAUCUUACCGGCUGUGACGCCUCAUCUCACCGGCCACCGUUCCUCACCCCCACUUCGGUCGUCGCCGCUCCUUGCCCUACCGCUGCUCUUUGCCGCUGCGAAUGAGCGCCGAGUGGAGGAGGAGGGAUGGGGCAGGAGGAGGGCAAGAUCCGGGAGGAAGGGAGAGAUCUCGGGAGGUGGAGAUGGAAGGAUAUGGCGGAAGGGAGAGAUCCAGAGGGAGAGAGCAGGGGAGAGAGGGGGGCGUGUGGGGAGAGAGCGCGUGUGGGGUGGGGCCGGGCUGGUGGGAUGGAAGGGAGAGGGGCUAGACGGGCGCAGUGCAUUCAACUGGAUGAAGUAAAUAUUUUGGAUUCGAGACCCCAGCUUUAUUAUCACCGCUGGUCCGUAGUACCAUCCGGUGCCUGCUCGUAAUUUAAUUUGAAUCUGCGGUGAUGUUUUAUUAUCACCAUCGGAUCAUAUAAAAAUCCGGCGGUUAAAAAUCCGCUGGUUUCGAUGAAAACCGACGGUGAUAGGAUGACUGUGAUAGUCUCUUCUCUAGUAGUGGUAUAUUAGUACCGGCUGCCGGAUGGUGUUGCCGACCAGUACUUCUCCGGGGGCGAUUCAGUACUGCUGUUAGCAAAGCUUGUUCUCUAUGAAUUUGGGGAUGGAAAGCUAGUUCUCUAGUUGUGAUUUGUUACAUAUAUAUCUAUGAUAGUCUAGAAAUUGCAUGUCCUUCGUUGACAUAGUUGAAGCUGCUUCAAGAAUUUACUUCGUGCAGUCGUGCAGCAUAUUGGAUUAUCACCUAGACAGGAUACAUAGGUGAAGCAUUGGAUGUGAUUGUGGCCGAUAAUUAUGCAGGACGCUGUUGCAAUCAACCACCAAGAAGUCUGGAGUGAUGGGGUUGCCUCAUCAAUAAUUUUUAUAUAUGGCUGCAGUAUUAUUAAGCCCACGUCAAUAAUUUUUUGUCCGCACCAUAUAUCGAUGGGGUUGCCUCAUCAAUAAUUCGCGCAACCAGACAAGCUGCAGACUCAAUAUGGUACGAAGCUAGUUGCUCAGCCCACAUGCUCUGAUAUAACAUUGACAUCUGCUGAUCUACAGUAUAUAUGACCAGAAAUAUUGUGCCCACCUCAAUAACUUUCUGAAGUAUCGUGGGGAAGAACCUACGCGUACUAUGCCUCGGAACUAACUGACAUAUCGGCCCAGGCGGUCUAGGCCGAUUGGACUGGCUCUUCCUUGUGGCUUCUCACAUCCCCUUCGUCCCCAAGUAAUUUCAGGUGUUCUGUAGUUUUCUUUUCACUUGCAUCUGAGCCUCCUAUAUCAAUAGCUUCGGGAUAAGAAUGCCUCUUGAUAACCUUCCAAAUCCUCGCUUGAUUCACAUUGAUUCCGAAAUCAUCUUGCCAUAUCUUCAGAGACUUAGGUCCUAAGGCAUCAUGGAGGAUUGCUCGCCAAGAAUGAGCACCAUUGGGCUCCUGAGGACCCUAGGCCGAUCAGCCCGGGCUCUAUAGGUCGAUUGGCCCAGGCCCUCUCUGGGCCUGUUGGCCUUCAUCUUUCUUUGAGUCGACGCUUAUUCAGGGCUUUGUCCAAUUAUAGUCCAUUAUAGUCUAAUUUCCUAAAAAACAGAAUGUCCUCCAAAAUACAAUGCAUAUGUGAAAACAACCCAAUUAUUAGGUAUGAUCAAUAGUUUAGGUAUUAAAUUAAUAUUAUUAUUUAAGAUAAACAGGGGUAAAGGGUGUCAUUAAUAACAAGCGCCAACAAGCGUCCUAGCUGUUCAAUAAAUUUUUUCUAGUACCGAUUGGUAACACUAACCGGUGCUAAUAUGUACCCUUUAUUACCGGUUAUUUUACCAGGUACUAAAGGAGACAAGAGCAUCCUAACAUAAGGUUAAUAUCAUCCAUUUCAUGAGUAAAAUACUAUGAUUCAAAAAUAAUUCAAAUCCCUUAAGACAAUACCUAUCAAAUGAGUAAAUUGUAAAUAGAGUAAUCUUGAUCAAACAAUGUCCUAAUGAAACGGAACACUUCUGGUUCGUGUAGAGCACAAUAUAGAAAACAGUAGGGUAGCUGUAUGAUUGACACGUGGUCCAUUAAUUAUUGAGCCAACACUAUGGACAUGUCUUCAUGAGUAGUGUACUAGUCAUAAUACAUGGUAUGCAGUAGGUGGAGGUAUUGACUUAGCCAUGCUAUGAGCACUUAGUUACAACAAACACUUUGCCAUUAUCGAGCAUCCCAAAUCACUACAAAAUCCAUAGUUUACCAUAUACUACAAAAUCUGAGUUAAAAUAAGAGCAUACACGGAAGAGUCCGAAUGCACGGCACAUUGAAUUACUAGACAAAAUUUAUGGGACAAGGUUUUGGGUAACCGCAUGAAAAAUAUUGGAUUUUACUGAACACUUAGUUACAAUUACCAUGCCCGUGAGCACUUAGUCACCACAAACAUUUAACCACUUUAGAUCAUCCUGAAUCCCUAUAAAUUCUAUACCUUACACCGUACCAUGAAAACGACAAGAACAGAGACAGAUGCGGUGAAAAUCUCCAGAGCAAGCCUGAAAUUAAAAUAAGAGGAGGCAGUCACUAUCGACAGGACACGGAGAUUGCUAGCCAUGACAGAGGAAGACAUGAUAUGAUAUUCACCUCUGAAAUGCAGCGUAGACUAAAUGAAGCACAAUUGCAAGUGAGUGUGGCAGAUAAUGGACCAUCGAGACCAUCGAAUGGUAUGAAGCAUGAUUAUCACCUAGACAUGAUAUCCUAGACAGGACGGUGAAUUGUAAAAAGAGUAAUCUUGAUCAAAGAAUGUCCUAAUGAAACGGAACAUUUUUGGUACGUGUAGAGCAAAAUAUAGAAAACAGUAGAGUAGUUGUACGAUUGAAACUGCAUCCAUCGACGUGGUGCAUGAAUUGUUGAGCCAACACUGUGGACAUGUCUUCAUGAACACCAUCUAGUGAGGACAGCAUGCAGAAAAAUAUAAAAACAUGUCAUAGGGAGGCAGACCAAUCUUGCGAGGUAGACGAAACGUGAUACACGAUCUGCCUACCUUGUCGUGUGGAUACCCCAAGUGAAGAUGUCAUAGAGGUGCAGACCAAGCUAGCAAGGAGGUAGAUGAAACGUGAUACACGGCCUGCCUACCUUGCCGUGGAUAUUAGUCCUGAUAUCAUUCUAUUGUUCAAGGAAUAACACUCAAUGCUGCUGCUGCUGCUGACCUGGCUCCAUAAAGUUAUAUUCCUCUAGCCGCUUGCACUAACUUUAUCUGAAGUAUUAUUCUCUCUGCACUGUAUAUAUGGUUACGGAGUUUGCUGGAGUAUCCGGGGGGAAGAACCUACAUAAUAUGUCUUGGAACUAACUGACAUUGAUUCACAGACAAGGUGCUGUUGUUGACAUGGUACAGUAAAUAAUAUAGUUUACCAUAUACCGUAUACCAUUAUAUGUUAGCUAAAAUAAGAGCAUAACAUGUCGCAGGAGUCCAAAAGCACCGGUUGAGGACCAGGUACAUUAAAUUACUAGAAAACAAAAGGGGACAAGGUUUAGGUAGCCACAUGAAAAACAUUUGAAUUUACUGUACCAUGAACACUUAGUUACCAUGCCGGGAGCACCUAGUUAACACUAACAUUUAGCCACUUUAGAUCAUCCCGAAACACCAAUGACCCUCAAUAGCGACAAAUUUUGGUUUAAAUGCCGUCACCAAUGAUCCUCAAUAGUGACGUGUUUAGGUUUAAAUCCCAUCACUAAUAACCCUUGGUAGUGACGUGUUUUGGUUUAAAUCUCAUCACCACUGAUCCUCACUAGUGACGUGUUUUUAGCAACACACGUUAUGAAUGACUUGUCAUUGGUGACAUGUUAAACGCGUUAUCUCAAUGGCAAAUCAAUGGUGACGUGUUUAAAAAAACAUGUCACUGUGAGAGUUAUUGGUGAAGGGUAAUUAAAAUGCAUCACUAAUUUUGUAGCAUUAGUUAUGAUAUAAUUUUGUAACGCAAAAAUCUACCAUAGUAAUGAGGUUUAGAGCCAUCACUAAUGUGGGUUUCUUAUCGUAGUGAUGCAAGCUCUACAAGGUGCUGUUGUUGCCAUUUUAAAGCAUCCCAAAUGACUACAAGAGUCCGGUUGAGGACUAAACAAAUUGAAUUACUAGAACCAAAUGUAUGUCCAGAACAAAGAAAGGGGUCAAGGUUUGGGUAACCGCAUUAAAAACAUUGAAUUUUACUGUACCAUGAACACUUAGUUACCAUUACCAUGCCUUGAGCACCUAGUUACCACAAACAUUAAUUUAGCCACUUUAGAGGUUCCACAAUCACUAUAAAUAAUAUACCAACACCGUACCAUGAAAACAUCAAGAAGAGAGACGGGUACAUGGACCACCAUCAAGUGAGUAGUGACAGCACGCACAAGAAUACCCGGAACCUUUUAGCUUGUCUGUAGUGAUCUGUUUUCUUCGCCACAAAUAAUGAAAGAGGCUGACCAAGCUAGCAACGAGGUAGAGCAAACGUGAUACACGUAGGUUUCAUUCAAGACAUCCAUGUAAGAUUCAUUCAAAACAUUCAUGGAAAUUUCUUGUAAGUUUUCAUGUAAAUUUCAUUCAAGACAUUUGUUAGAGGUGUUGUAUAUACACUUAACGUACAUAUAUCUAUGAUUUCAUGGUUGUUAGUGAUGGCAGAUGAGGAGCAUGCAAGGUGUUUAAUGGAGCAGAUUAUUGCUAGUGGUAGUGGCUCCAACCUGCCCGUAACGUACACCGACGAAGAGGGCAGCCAGGCGGACAUGUUCCUCAACAUGUCCGGUGAUGGCAAUGAAGAGCCCGAGCAAAACCUUGCCGUGACGGAAGGUUCCAUCGAGGUAUAUAUCAUUUCCAUUAUUUUACCCCAUCUAUAAUUUCAUAUUCAUUAUUACUAUGUGCUAAUUAAUGAAUCUUGAACCGUUAGUCCUCUAGAUCAACGAACCGAAAUAAGCCCCGAGGUCUUACAAAGAUAAUGCAGGGAAGGCUUCACAUCAUGGAAGUCACAGAAGAGGGCACAUCGGUUGCUCCCGAACAUGUGGCAAGAAAGUACGUGAGUCAAACCGGGGCAAUCGUAAGGGACAACAUGCCCAUCAGCAUCAGGGAAUGAAAGAGCAAUAGAAAUGAUCUAUACGCACCCCCGGAUACACAAAAGGAUAUGUUGUGGGCAAAUAUCAAGAAACACUUCACAUUUCCCAAAGGAUAUGUUGAAAAAUAUGUGAAAGCGUGGAUGUUGAAGAAGAUGGCCACCCAAUUCCAGACAUUCAAGAAGAUGUUGGAUGCCAACUUCAUCAAGAAGGGUCGAACUCCGGGUUUCAAUGAGUGGCCAAAGUUAAGGGACCACUGGGAGUCGUUUGUCGAAUACAAGACGAGCGAAGGUGGUGCGAGUAAGGUUCACAUCAAUGUUGCCAAUGCUAGCAAGGAGUACCAUCAUCAUCUAGGGCGACGUGGUUACAGCUCUGCAAUUCCCAGAUGGCGCAAGAUGGAACAAGACCUGAUCGAUCGGGGUAUCGUACCAGCAACUCUUGACUGGAUCGAUUGAAAAAUUGGUAUUAUGCUCAUGAAGGCAAUCUGAGCCAAGAGGAUCCGACAUUGGUCUUCAAUAAAACAAUACGUCAGAAGGUCGGAAGGCUUAUUAGGAACAUUGAAGAUGCUAAAGCUGGGAGGUUCAAGGUGGAUAGAGAGAAUGAUGAACUCACAUUGGCCCUCGGGACUGUCAUCUCUAGCACUUCCAGCUCCAGGACUAUCGUCACCACCGGGACCGUCGCUUCCUGCUCGAUCACAGUCUCCAUCUCCAGCACAUCCUGGUGGUGCGAGCGACGACGACAACAACACCCCUCCCUGCCCACCAUUGCCGGGACUAAGACCCGCAUUGAGUAAGGAACCUGCAACACCACUGAAGAAGUCGCGACCACCACCUUCAAGGCAAGUCAGCAAAAGAAGAAAGCAGAGAAGCCUAAACCCACUGAGAAGCCAGCGACUGAUAUGACCGAUGCGGAAAGAUGGAAGGCACUCAAAGAAGAAUGCAGGGAGUGGUUCAGCGAAGGCGAAGGUGAGAAAGUCGUAUGAAUCGAAUUCAAGGAUAUAUAUGAAGUGAACCAUCAGGAUGCCCUUGAUGUCUCUCUCAUCAGCGCCUAGGUUCUGUAAGUGUAUGUUUAUCUAUAAGUAAAUUUUGGCUCAUAUCAUUAUUUUUUUUGCGUGCGUCACCCUACUAACUUCGUCUUCCAUUUUAUGUAGGAUGCUAAUUCAGACGUGCCGCAUAGAAGCGUACUUCCAUGUUGGAUUCAUGGAUCCAUCCCUAGUUAACCAAAAGCCGAUACGGAAGUAGCUAGAGAAAACGUUGGAGGUGGUGUACAACCUCCUGGACAAACUAAACUACAGAAUAGGGGCAAUAUGUGAGGGUCUUGUAGGAUUCCUAGUGGACGAGGUGAUAAAUCCAUAAGGAGAAUAUCAUUCCAACGGACGAGCAUUAGACACACUGAGCAACACCUAGAUGGGAGGAUCCUAGGAAUGACCUCGACAGAUUUUGGUAUAAAUAGUAAUUGUGUAAAUACUAGUUUGAUUUGUAUAGGAAUAUACUAAGAAUUGUAUAUAUAGUAAUUGUACAAAUACUAGUUUGAUUUGUAUGAAUACUAGAUUGAUUUUAUUAUAAAAAAGUUUUAAGUCGUACGUGCAUGCGCCUACAAAGGCGCGGAUGCCUUUUAAUCCCAGUCGGAAAAACAAACUGGUACUAAAGGGGCUCGUGCCGCACCUGGCAUGACCACCCCUUUAGUCCCGGUUGAACGACCCAGGACUAAAGAUCUCCGCGUCUCAAAAAUUUUAUCUCGGAUGCUUUUUAGAGAGAUUUGAGGCCUAUCAACCAAGACUAAUAUCGAGUUUUCUACCAGUGAAACUAACUAACGUUCACAUGGUUUUGACAUUCACCUGCCAUUUGGUGUAGACAAGGGCACCCUAACAUAUGGUUAAUAUUAUUCUUGAAAGAAAAUCCUUUGAUUCAAAAUACUUCAAACCUAAUAAUACAAUACUUCUCACAUCUGAAAAAUAUGAGACGGCCCGACAGUAUUCUAAUCGACGCAAUAAUAUUUUGAGGGCAGCACUACUACAGCGACCCUCAUUCGUGCCGGUGCUGGGACUCCUAUCACGACCCUGAUACAAAUGAGGGUACAUUAUUGGUGCCAGUGCUAGAACAGCCACGAAUAACUUGCUAAACGUGCUGUUACACUCACUACAGGGACCAAGAAGGUAGAUAAAUUACACGACAUAGCCUUGGUUGCCGUGGAAGCGCCAAGAAGGGAGACAAAUUACAGGGACCACACCAUCAAGUAGAUAGUGACAAUAUGCAAAAGAAUACCCGCGCCUGUUAGCAUGUGAACUGACCACACCACGAAACGUGAUACACGGCAAGCGUACCAAGGCCUUGCUGUGCAGACUAUGCAUGGACAACACAUGGUACCUGACCGCUUUUGGCCUCAGACACAUCGAAAAACUGCAUCGUUCCACGUUGUACAUCCAUUGCUAGUUUAUCUAUAUUACAUAAUAUAUUAUUAGCUAUUUGAAUAGAAUGAACCAAUUAAAAAAUUGCGUUGUAUUUUUAGUACCGGCUGCAGGAUGGUGUUACCAACCAGUACUAAUUGGCCUGUAGGAGUGAUGGUUAUUAGACUUGGUACUGUUGUUAGCAUCAUUAACCUAAUUGUGCGCCGUAUGAAUUUGGGGAUGCAAAGCUAGCUCUCUAUGAAUGUGAGGGAUGGAAAGCUAGUUCUCUAGUAGUAAUUAUAUAUAUGACAGUCAAGAAAUCGAACACUAUGCUGCUACGAGUCACCAUCAUUUCCUUCAUUGACAAUCUGACAUAGGUGAAGCUGCUUCAAUAAUUUCCUUCGCGCAGUCGUGGAGCUUAUUGGAUUAUCACCAGGACGGGACACGGAAAUGGCCAGCAAUGAAGCUGAUUGCCGUCUGAGGAAGACUACAUACUUACCUAUGAAAUGAAGCGAUUGCAUAGACUAAUGAAGCAUUGCAUAUUUGCAUGUGAGUGUGGCAGAUAAUUCUGCAGGACAUGAUUGCAAUCCACGCACCAUCGAGAAGACUGGGGCGAUGGGGUUGCCUCAUCAAUAAUCACGUGGAUGCAUGCAUGCAUGUUCCCGCAACCGGACAAGGGUCUGAUAUAUGGCUAUAGUAUUACUGAGCCCACAUCAAUAAUUUCCACUGGUGUAUCGUGUGGGAAGAAUCAACAUACUACACCUCGAGUUCUUGGAACUAACUGACGUUCACAUGCAACCUCCACAAGGUGCUGUAUGCUUUUGACAUUCACCUGCCAGUUCGUGUAGAGAAGGACACCCUAACGUAUAGUUAAUAUUAUCCAUUUCAUGAGUAAAAUACUGUGAUUCAAAAAUACUUCAAAUCCCUUGAGACAAUACUUCUCACUUGACUAACCACUAACCAACCCCGAAACCCUAACUCAACUCCGAACCCUAACCCCUAACGGCAUAACCACUCCGUUUUGCCGGCGAGAUGGAGGAACUGGCUGGAAGGUAGAGAGGGCAGCGGUCCAGGGUUGAAAACGACGGGCGAGCGCAGUAACAUGUGGAGGAGGAAGUGCCACGUAUUCGUUCACCGCUAUUGGGCAGCGACACACGACACGCCCAAUAAGAUCUUCGCACGGUAGAAGGACGUCAUGUAUUCAAUAAUGUUAUUGGUCCCCCAUGUGCAGAAGGGCGCGCGCGUAUGGAAUAACAAGUAGGGACACUGCAACUAAUCUACUCUGCUCGUCCAGUCCCUAGCCUAUAAAUAGAUGCCAUGCUAGCUCUUGUUGUGCUCACAAUUAAUCCGAUUACACACGAGCUUCUCUCCCUGGCCAAGACACAACCAUAGUAUGAUGAAGAACAUGGCACUAGCCGGCAAUGGUAUGAAGAAGUUAAUCCUCGCUGUUCUCUUACUGUGUCUAGUUAUAGGGCAGAUACAAGUGGAAGCUAAGAGCUGCUGCCCAUCCACCACUGCAAGAAAUGUCUACAAUACCUGCCGUUUCACGGGUACAUCCCGUCCAACGUGUGCAAAACUGUCAGGCUGCAAAAUUAUCAGCGGGAACAAAUGCAAGCCCCCUAACGACCACCUCACCCUUGACCCGGACACUGGUAAAUAAUAAAUUUAUCUCACUUGAUUUCUUCGUGAUUUGAGUCGUUAAUGUAUUUUCCAUCUGAUGAAACGUAUUGGUUUUGCAUUGAAGAGGAAGUUAAUGUGCUUAACUUCUGCAAGUUGGGGUGUGCGUCGUCUGUGUGCAACAACAUCAACGCUGGUAAGCAACUUUUGCUCAGACAGAGAAAACAAUAAUCAUUAAUUAGCGGCAGCUAGAAUCCUAUAAUCUAAUAUAUAUAUAUAUAUAUAAUUUUAUCAGCUCUGGGAAAUGAAGAGGCGAACGAUGCCGUUGAGAGUUGCGACCAAGCCUGCUCUAGCUUCUGCAGCGUGCAUGUUGGCAGCGCCACCGUGGUUGCUUAAGCAAAUGCAUCCAACUAGAUCGUCCUUGUGCUGAAUAAUUGGAUAUCGUAUCCACUUAAAGCUGCCUUGUGUAGUACGUCUUUGUGUCUCUCUUUAUAUUCCAAUAAGGUCGGUGAUCUUGAUGCCACACACUCAGAUGUGUGUUCAUCUCCAGAUACUACUCCAUGCUACCUGCCCUUUGUGUUUUGUUCAAUAACUGGGUAUCAUAUCCCAGCCAGUAUGCCGUCUGUUUUGUGUUUGUUUCCUUCUAGUUCCAAAGGGGUCAUCAUGAUGUUACCUUCUUUCAAUAUGGUGCUUUGCAUGACUACUGUUGUAUGGUACCAUCUUGUGGCCAAUAAGUACAUCUUAUCCUAUGACCUUUGCUAUGACCCUUUGCAAAUAAGUAGAAGAUUGUUAUAAGCGUCAAUACUCCGUAUAAAUUGAUCGCUGCUGUGAGUUCCCUUUCAGCUUAUCGUAGGCAUACAUUAUUGCUAGCACGGUAAAGCCAACCAACACGAAUGAUGAAGUAAACGUAGCGGUACUUCUGUAUACCAACACCCUUACUUAAAUGUACCGGUGUCAUUCCCUACUGGCACAUAUAUUCUUAUAUGCUAGCCAGCUUGUAAAAUUAACCAAUUAAAAUAAUUAUUUCAAGAUAGAAAUAACUUAUCGGUUUCUGGAAGCAUGUGUAAUGUGAAUUCAAGGACUCGACGGAAGUUGAAUCACUUCAUCUAUAUUGCUUUCAGUAUUUUGGGUAACUAAAUUUAACAUUUGCACAUACAAAUGUUAAAGUACAAAUGUUAAAUCUAGUUACCCAAGCAGAAUAUGAAGAUAGUUUAUAGUAUAUAUAUACUAUAUAAAUCUAGUUAACAUUUAGUCUAAAUGUUAAAUCUAGUUACCUAAAAUCCUGAAAGCAAAAUGUAUAAAUAUAUAUCUUUUAAGGCAGUAUAAGCUUCGAUUCCUAUUGCUGCUCUGUUAAAUCUCAUCUUUCGUUGUGGCCCAACACUCUAGUAUGCAUGUUGCACCAAGCUUCUUUGAGCCGCUCUGCCCUCUGAUUUUGCUGCGUAGGGGAAUCUUUAUCAGGUUGGGCUACUUCCAGUUGUGCGAUGUAAAGAUUCGUAUUUUCUAGAAGGUAGACAAAAAACUCGCGUUCUCUUAAGGCAACAACCGGAAGAUUCUGCAGCGCACAGGGCAUACCAUUAUUGUAGAAACGACCUUUAGUACCGAUCUCCAACCCCCUUUAAAACUGGUUUUGCAACCGGUACCGUUAUGUCGGUCCUUUAGUACCAGAUCAAAUAAGUACCGGUUGGUAACCAGUAUCAACUUGUUUUGCGGCCAAAAAAAUAAAGAAAAAAACAGUCAGAAGGCUCGCACACACGCGCAUCACAUGAAAUAUGCGUGUGCGGGGUCCAUGGGAUUCGAACCCAUGAAAUCAAGCUGCACGCGACCCUUCGUUACCAUCUCACCUACAUAGCGCAUAUGCUUUCCUGAAGUAACCCGUGGAGGAGGCUUUAGUACCGGGUCAUAACACCACCCGGUACUAAAAAUGACUCUUCAGUACCGGGUCAUAACACCACCUGAUACUAGUAUCGGAUGGUGUAAUGACCCGAUACUAAAAGGCCUCUAGGGACCCUCAAAUUUGAACCCGGUACUAAUGCUAAUAUUAGUAGCGGGUCAAAGUGCAGCCAGAACUAAAGCAUGGGAUGAAAGGUCAUAUUUCUAGUAGUGUAUAGUUGUUGUGAAGGACUGACUUGGCUGUCCUCUCUCUUCUCCAUCCCCUUGGUCUUACGCCGCCGCUCGCACGCGAGCCGGUGCCCAACCAGAGGAGUGAGAGCUAGGGGCAGGUUGGGAGGUGGGGAUAGUGACUGGUGGCCAGGGUGAUGGUUGAUCCUGGUGGGGUUAGGGUUUCAGGGUUUUCGAGCUUCCUAUGGUCGGCGAACCUAGAGGAGAAGCUCAACAUCAGCUGCAACCCGCGAUGGUGGUGGUUUGGCCGGCGCCCGAGGCGAGGCAGCGCGGGAGUGCUGCCGGUGGGUUGGUGUUGGCACUCAUUAUUGACAACUAUUUUGUUCAUAAAAUAACACUCAAACUUGCUGCUGCUGCUGCUGCCAUCGCCACCCUAGCCAUAAUAUAAAGGCAAAAUUUGCUAAAGGACAUGCAAAAUGAUGCUAGUUUGCUGGCGGGCAUCGUUGACCUUGUAAUAUGCUACAAGACACUCUAGUUGUGUAUCAAUUUGCUGAAAGACAUUGCUAUGACUAAAAUAAUGUUUCUGGACUGAGUUGGAGAGAGAGAUGGAGUGAAAUGUCUGUUUUGCCCAUGACCCCACUGGUCAGAUCCUUCUUCUUCCACCCUCCUUUGUUCUUUCUUCAACCAUUACCCAGCUCCAGCGUGUUGCAGAUCUACGAGGGUGGCGGCCUGGGGCGAGGGGCAUCGCUCGCCCUUGGAGGAGCGCUGCGAGCGACGGCGCGGGGGCGGCAACAGCGCGUCAGAACCUGACUGUUCGUUAGCUCCUCUCGCUGCUGGGGAAGAAGGAGGGGGAUGGGCCAUGGACGGGGUUCCCUUGAAAACCUCAGCGUCGAGCUCGGGCGGCUACGCGCAGGCAGCACUAGGCUGCUUCACGGGGAGGGGGCGCGGCCAAUCAUUGGCACCCCACUGGUCCAAUGCUGAUGAAGAUGGUGCCAGCGUCGUGUGAGGACAUCUCAUCUCCUCGAGUUCCAUGGCCAGCACAGGUGAGCUGCCGCUACCACAAAACAGAGGUUUCGUGAGAGUCAAAAAACCUUAUGAAAAUAGCUAAAACCAUCAUGAAAAUAAUCCGUGACAUGACACUCUCACGAAAAUCCUCUCACAAAUAUGGUGCCAUGAAAAUACCAUUUUCAUGAGAGUGAACUGUCAUGAUUUUAUAAGCGUCAAUACUCGGUAUAAAUUGACUACUGCUGUGAGUUCCCUUUCAGCUUAUCGUAGGCAUACAUUAUUGCUAGCACGGUAAAGAGAACCAACACGAAUGAUGAAGUAAACGUAGCGGAACUUUUGUAUACCAACACCCUUACGUACCGGUGUCAUUCCCCACUGCCACAUAUAUUCUUAUAUGCUAACCAGCUUUGAAAAUUAAGCGAUUAAAAUAAUUAUUUCAAGAUAGAAAUAACUUAUCGGCUUCUCGAAGCUUGUGUAAUGUGAAUUCAAGGACUCGAUGGAAGUUGAAUCGCUUCAUCUAGAUUGCUUUCAGGAUUUUGGGUAACUAAAUUUAACAUUUGCACACACAAAUGUUAAUGUACAAAUGUUAAAUCUAGUUACCCAAGCAGAAUAUGAAGAUACUCUAUAGUAUAUAUGUACUAUAUAAAUCUAGUAAACAUUUAGUCUAAAUGUUAAAUCUAGUUACCUAAAAUCCUAAAAGCAAAAUGUAUAAAUAUAUAUCUUUUAAGGCAGUAUAAGCUUCAAUUCUCUGUUAAAUCUCAUCUUUCGUUGUGGCCCAACACUCUAGUAUGCAUGUUGCACCAAGCUUCUUUGAGCCGCUCUGCCCUCUGAUUUUGCUGCGUAGGGGAAUCUUUAUCAGGUUGGGCUACUUCCAGUUGUGCGAUGUAAAGCUUCGUAUCUUUUAGAAGGUAGACAAAAUACCCGCGUUCUGGAAGAUUCUGCAACGUGCACGUUGGCGCUGCCACCGUGGUUGCUUAAGCAAAUGCAUCCAACUGAAUCGUCCUUAAGCUGAAUAAUUGGAUAUGGUAUCCACUGCUUAAAGCUGCCAUGUUUAGUACGUCUUUGUUUUUCUCUCUUUAUAUUCCAAUAAGGUCGGUGAUCUUGAUGCCACACACUCAGAUGUGUGUUUAUCUCCAGAUACUACUCCAUGCUACCUACCCUUUGUGUUUUGUUCAAUAACUGGGUAUCAUAUCCUAGCCAGUGUGCCAUCUGUUUUGUGUUUGUUUCCUUCUAGUUCCAAAGGGGUCAUCAUGAUGUUACCUUCUUUUGAGGUGUCUAUGAUGACUUCGUUAAUAUCAAUAUUAACCAAUUCAAUCUGUCUUAACUAUUUGUAAGGGGUAUGAUGUAUGCAUGAUUAUAACAAUGAUUGCGCAUACAAUCGCCGCCAAAGAAACGGUCAAUACCAUUAAGACAUAUUACAGACAAUUCUCAUAAUCUAUAAUGAAUAUACAUAUUCACUACUGCAGAAGACUGUCAUUUGUAUCGGCUCAUACGUGCCAGGGCAAAGGUCACCCUUGCAUUAAGUACAUUUGCACGGUAAAGACAACCAACACGAAUAAUGAAGUAAACAUGCCGGUGCUUUUGUACACCAACACGCUUACUUAAAUGUACUGGUGUCAUUCCUCACCGGUAGCCGGCUUGAAAAUUAACCAAUUAGAACAAUUAUUUAUUGUAUCGGUGUGAUUUUUGACCUAUUGGAAUAUGAAUUUGACCGUUACUGCAUUCGUCAAGACUCAAGAGAGAAAUAACUGAUCGGCUUCUUAGAGCGUGUGCAAUGUGAAAUCAAGGACUGGAUGGAAGUUGAAGCGCUAGCACUAGUAGAGAAACGACUUUCCAUCCACCCCCUUUUGUCCCGGUUUAAAGUUGGCUCGGGAUAAAAGGUUCACCAACCGGGACUAAAACUCAGUCACUGGUGGGAGGCUCACCAACCGGAACCUUUUAUCCCGGUUGCAAAGGCUAAUGGGAAAAAAAGACUCUGAGAGGCCUUUUAUCCCGGUUUGAAACACCAACCGGGAUAAAAGACCCCCCUUUUAUCCCGGUUGGUAACACCAACCGAGAUAAAAGGGUCAAGAGCCUUUUAUCCCGGUUGGAAACACCAACCGGGAUAAAAGACCCCCUUUUAUCCCGGUUGGUGUUUCAAACCGGGAUAAAAGGGCCCCCACGAGGUGACUGGAAGGUGACUGGAAGGGGAUUAAAUCGUGGGGGACCCUUUUAUCCCGGUUGGAAACACCAACCGGGAUAAAAGGGGGUCUUUUAUCCCGGUUGGUGUUUCCAACCGGGAUAAAAGGGUCCCCCACGAGUUAAUACAAAAGGAUAGUAUCCCCUACAUAGUCAGAUGUGGUGUGUAGGUGGGAUGGUAAGGAAGCUACGCGCGAGCUCCGGAAUUUUUUUUUUUUUUUUUUGCAGCGUCGGCGCUCUCUACCCUUUUAUCCCGGUUGGUAUUACCAACCGGGAUAAAAGGGGGUCUUUUGUCCCGGUUGAGUGACCCGGGAUAAAAGACCCCCCCUUUUUUCCCCGGUUAGUUUAUCCCGGAUGCAUUUUCGGGAUAAAAGCACCCUACCAACCGGGAUUAAAGCUCACUUCUCUACCAGUGUAGCUUCAUCUUCCGCUGCAAGUUAAUUGCUUGGAUAAGAAGUUGUAGCCGCUGCAAGUUAUAAAUAGUCCCGCUGAUGCUGUGCUCCGAAGUCUAUACUAUAUAUGCGGAAACUAGAUUGCUUUCAGGAUUUUGGGUAACUAAAUUUAACAUUUGUACAUAAAAAUGUUAGUUUACGAAUGUUAAAUCUAGUUACCCAAGCAGAACAAGAAGAUAGUAUAUAGUAUAUACUAUAUAAAUCAAGUUAACAAUUAGUCUAAAUGUUAUAUCUACUUACCCAAAAUAUUGAAAGCAAAGAAAGAAUAAGUAUAUAUCUUUUGUUGGAAAAUUGGUCCACGGAGAGGCCCAUUUAGGCCUCGUUCGUUUCACCGGGAUGGGAUUCCAGUCAGGAUUACUUCCAAGUUCGGUUUGAGUGAUUCCACCCGUGUCACUCAAUCCGGCUAGGAUUCAUUCUAUGGGUGAGGAGGUAUGGUUUCAAUCCAGGCCAUCUAAUGUAGAAGGAUUCCAAUCCAGGCCGGUUUUCGUUCCAGGCCAGACUAAAACGAACAACACUUUCAAUGCAAGUCUGGUUUCAAACCGGGCCAUUUCAAACCACCCGGAAUGGACCUCGUUCCAGGCCAAUCCGGUGAAAACAAAUGAGGCCUUAAUGGAAUCCCAAAGCAAGAGUUCAGUGGCAUUCUAUAGUCCCAUGCUGCUAGUUUGAGUUGGUCGAAGCCAACUUAAAUAGGAGAGCUCUCUCACUUCUCUAAAUACGUAACUGAAGGAGAGAAGGGGGCUUGGGUUACACAACGCACGCACGCACGCAUAUUUGCGUUCUUUUCGCGUAACCAACCGCGUGACUUGAAACUUGCGACGUAGCGUGCUGCUAAGUCAAGUUGAUAUAACCUUUUUGCCGUUUGCAUGUAAUCUUUUGACAACGGUCAUUGGAGGUGAUAAGCACGCAGUCAAUACCUUAAUCUUGAGUUAAUAGGGUGGUUACUACUGCCAAUUAGUGGGGCAAUUUUGUAGGGGAAACGGUUAGCAGAGGGCUACCGUCUUCUCUAUAAGAAGUUCUGGAGACGUCCAGGAACACACAUGUACAUGUGAGAGACCCACAAAUUCCUUCCCUUCUCCCUUUUCCAUGUGGUGAAGUGUGCUGUGGUACUGAGCUGCUUGAUCUCGCCGCUCUUCUCCUUGGCAUGCACCGAGGAGGAGGGUGAGCGGUAUCUCCGAGCUAUUGCCGUCAGGAAGCCUGCACGAGGGACAACAAAAAGUUUUUGGGUAGCGCAACUGCCAGCACAACUCUCCCUCCGCCUCUUCUUCACGGUUGAUGGCCACCACAAGCAUAAACCUCGCCUUCGCAUCCACGCAAAAGGGUCGCUGGGGUGCCUUCUUGCAUCGCUUCUCAGCCUCCUUGACUUGCGGCCAGCCAAGAACUGCGCCACCACCUCGGGUGCACGCCACCACUCCAGGGCUGCUACCCCAUGCCUGCGGCCGCCGCCGGCCACCACGCGUGUGCAACCGCGUCGCACCGCUUCCUUGCUUUGUGCCACCACUGCUGCUGUACCACCAGCUCCACCACCUUGGGCUGGUCGCCAGAGUGACUGAUAACUUAUUAUCUGUAACUACUAUUAACUCAGGGAUACAUGCGUCUUUUGCUUCUCCUACUAAUAUGUCCUAAAAUAUCUAGGAUGCCUUAUAUUUCUGGACAGAGGAAGUAUUUGAAUAAAAUGAACCAAUUUAAAAAAAUGUGUUGUACACUACUACAGAAAGACCUAUCAGUGUCAAACCCAAAAAUGUUGUCACCGCCAGUUUUGGGCAUCAUUGGUGAAAGGUUGGCGGUGAUGGGCUUUCCCUUCAACAACGGCACUGGAGCCGACGGUGAUUGACAUUAGAAAACAAAAAAGGGGACCCUACCUAGCCACCCCUGCAACCCGGCCGGCCGUGCCUCCCCUCAUCCCCACCACCUCGCCUCCCCAUGACCCCCCGCCGGCGCCCUUGCGCCUAGCCCCCUCAACUGCCCAGCCGGCCACCCUCAUCACGAGAGAGAGGUGCAUGUUGUAUAAUUGCGUGAAUUUUUUAAUGUUUAAUUUCAUGUAAGUUCCGUGUAAUAAAUUGUACAAGUUUUAUUGUAUAUAUGAAUUCCAUAUAUAUAUAUAUAUAUUUAUAAUUUAAUGUAUGGUUUCAUGUGUAUAUUUCAAUCAUGUGUAUAUUUAGUAGAUUGCCGAUUUUCUUUUUCUACUAGACAAGGGUUGAUGUAUAAUUACGUGUAUAUGUUUAUUGUACGGGCAAUUAGGACAAGUUUUGUAUAAAUUUCUUUUAUUUGAUGGUUGUUGUAUGGUUUCAUGUAUAUACAUUUAUUGUACUACUUUAGACAAUUUUUAAUUUAAUGUUUCUAUGAUUAGAUGUGUGUAUAACUAAUUGUAUUAUUAGUUAAGAUGGGAGCUAAAGAGGAUGAAAGGUAUAUAAUGGAGCAGAUUAUUGCUAGCUCAAACGUUGCAAGAACCUACACCGAGGGUGAGGGUAGCUAGGUGGACAUGUACCUCAACAUGUCCAGUGAUGGCAAUGACGAUGAGGAGCACGAGCAUGACAUCUAUGAUAAUGCGGAACAAGACAUUGCAGAAUUGGAAGGUUCUAAUGAGGUGUGCUUCAUGUUGACAAUCUAGUUGGCUUUUUUUCGUUGGUCACACCUUAGUUACCAUAGAACUUCGUCUCGGGAGAAGAUUGGUGGUGGUAUGGUGAUUGGAAUUUUAUUUCCACGAAAUCUGAUUUCCAUCGAAUCAUAUCCCUUGUAUUUAUCUUCUUUUUAUUUGUGAGAGCAUCUUCUUUAUGCUUGCAAAACAAUUCAAGUGCACAUACUACCCCUAGGGUGACGAUUGGGAGUAGAAAUAAUUGCCAACAAAACAACACCACAUCCUAAGAUUCUUAACUUGUGGCAUAAUUAGUCUAGUAAAAAGAAAGAUAAAAACCUAAUGGGUGUAUGUGAGUGCAAUGUGUAUAUGCAUAUGAGUGGAAGGCAUAUAAGCAAAGACAAUAUUUACACAUAGUUCUAAACACCAUGUUUACAGCUAGGUUGCUGAAUUUCUCCAUAGCCAUAGAGAUUAAUUAACCAAGGUCAAAACACGAUGUCUAUCCCAAGAUCAGUAAUUAUUUAUAGCACAAGAAAAAGAAAGCGCAUUGCAAAGUUUAUAAACCAACCAAUACAGCAUGAAAACAAGAUGAAUAGCUAGCAAGGUUUAUUAAACUGAAUGAUGACGGUCUGUAAGCAAGUUUAAACACCAUCUUUACACAAGAUUGCAAAUGGAAAAUGCCCAUAUGAAGCACUAACAUGGAUAUGAAAUCAUUCAUCAUAAAGCGUAAAGAACAACCAAGCCAACCAUAUGCAAAGCAUGAAUGGAAUGCAAUGAAGGUGCAAGAGAACAUUUUUGGAUGAACACAUUAUGAUGAUGGCAAAAUGCAAUGCAUGCAGAAAAAAUAAAUAUGAACAUGAAUAUGAUGAUCAGGGGCGGACCCACUAUUGUGGCCUGGGUAUUCCUCGGCAUACCCAAUAUUUUUGGGAAAAUGUUUAGUAGUUUUUAAUGGCAUAUACAUGUAUAAUAUAGUUUAGGUGUUAAAAUUGAUAUUCACAGCUAUUUUGGGCUCCAAUUCGCGUCCAAACCAACCUGGCCCACAGACCGCACCCGGCCGCCCGGCCCAUCGGCCCAUCUUGUCACUGAUCCUCCCACCACCACACUCAGCCCGUCAGUUAGUCAGGUCCCGAGCUCCUGCCUGACCUAGUCCGCUACCACCGCCAGGCGCCAGGCACAGCUGUACACGCCGCCCCCGUCCACCCACGUCCGCCGCACGGCCGCGUCGCGCCCCCCCCCGGCGCCCGCUGCUGCCAGAACCCAUUAGGCCUCCACCGGCAAGUCCACCCACAGUCCCGCGCGACGCGGCAGCCUCUUGGCUCUCGGCGCUCGCGGCGCGCCAAUGCCUGCGCAGCCCCAGCAGGCGACUGCCCCCCCCCCCCCCGCAUCGGGCCUCGGCCCCUCCCCAGCUCCCCCUCCCCCCUCCACCAGGACUGCCUGCUGGCCCCCACCGCGAGGUAAUCGAAAUGGACUGCUCAAUCUCUCAAUCUGUUGACAUGAUGCACACGGUUGCAAAAAUAGAUGUGUCAAAAUAGAUGUAUUGCCAAUUGCUAUAGAUGCAUAUGGUUGACAUGAAGAAGUCAAAAAUGACAUUUGGUUCCUUGUAGGCAGUCAAAAAUGAAGAAGUCAAACAAUAUUGAUCUGAAAUCAAUGCGGGAAAGGGCUACGAAGACACACGGGUAGAUUCCCUUGUGAACUUUUUAUGUCGUUCGUCUAAAUAUAUUUUUGCAAUGGGCAUACCCUACUCUGAAAUCCUGGGUCCGCCACUGAUGAUGAUGGUCUAAACAUAAAACAAGCCUAGAUUAAUUAGCUACAACUGAAAUUAAGCAAAGGUUAAUGUCAUUGACCCUAGCUCUAUCCUAGCUUUUACUAAAGUCCCGGCACAUAUAGUGGUUGGGCCCACUCUCUCUACUUCCCUCUCUGCUGCAUGCACACACACGAGCAACUGGAGGCCCAACAAAGCCCAGAAGGGUUCGGCCGAACCCGUCCGAUCCAGUCUGAGCGCCGCUCCCUCCCAGCCUUCGCGCAGAUGCUCCUCCAACGUUCCUUGACCCCUCCCUCAGUGUCCCAUUGGGUUUAACAUUGUAGGAGAGGAGUCCCUUUUUUAAAAUCUCAACCACCUCCUCUCCUCAUUCACUCCACUCUCAUCUCCAUCAAACUCACCAAGAUCCACAUCGGAAAUACCUGCUUACCACCAUGGCUGGCAAAGCCCUCGUCCCUUUCACCAACUUGGGCUUGACCAUUGAUCUCGAUGGGAAAAUCACUCCAGCAAAUGUCAUUGUCCCUGUCGGCGAUCUGGCGAUGGAGGAGGUCCAGGCACUAGAGGUCGAGCCCCUAGCCAUCAUACCGCCCAAGGGGUAAAGCAGGAGCAUGACAGGCGCUGCUAGGGGUUCAGCCGAACUCCCAGUUCAGCCAAACGAGGACGGCGUCGCCUCGGCCUCCCGCUCGACUGCAUGCUUCCCCUUGCCAAGGAGGACUCCAGAACAGCGGGCGCGUGCGUCAAGUCCCUACAAAAGGCUGAAAUACAAUGAAUAUCCAGGGUCACCCUUGAAGAUGGGUGAACGCUACGCCGGGUCCUUGUUUGACUAGUACGGCGAUGCAUUCUGCCACCGCUAUGUCGUUGUCGAGAUUAGCGGAUCAAGACUUAGACUAGUAAAUUUCUUUUAUGCGCGUAAGGCUUCAGAUGGUGGCGUGGGAGACAUGGGUUUUAUACUAGUUCGGGCAAUGGAAUACCCUACGUCCAGUGUCUGGAGCUGCUUGUGUUGCCCACGCGGGGUUCUGUAGUAGGGGUUACAGGUGUGCGAGAGAGGGAGCUAAUCCCAGGUCUCUUAGGCGUGUUCCGGUCCUCUAGAUGGGAGAAGUGUGUUCUGUUUGCUUGGGAGUAUCGGUUGUGUCUGAGUUGUCUCCGGAGCCUCCUCCCGUCUCAGGUCCCCGAUUCUCCUUUCAUAGCACAAGGAGACCAUCGGGGUUACAGACGAGACCGAGCGUGGGGAGGAGUAAAGAGAUAAACAUAGCUAGGUAAAAAUACAACAAGAAAGGGGGGAACCAAGUUUCUAGGUCACCGGCGUCCUCGCCGGCCUUCGACUUCCGCCGGCGCAUUUGUCGGAGGAGGGUGGCCGCCAUCGCGUUCUGUCGAUGGCUUCCUCGGUGACUGUAGCCACCGGGCGUGAUGAUGGCAUUUCGUCGUGACCCUUUGUCUGUUGGGGGAGGCGGCGGAUCCUGCCAUUCUGCUGACGGCUCGCGGAGUGCGAACGUCGCAUCCCUGCCGCUGGGCACGCGGGGCGCGAGAACGUGCGAGGCUUCCCCCUACCCCAGGCGGCGCAGGCCAUGAGUGCCCUGUGGCAAAUCGGAGGAGGCCGCAGCUACUGUAGCUUGUACUGUGCAGCCACGUAUGGGUACUUGUGGCAGGUUGCGUGGUGGAUGCGGAUAUCCUUCUCCCUGACAGAUCUGCGGCGCAUUUAUGGCGAGAUCGACAUGGGGACCCACAAGACCCGCGCCCAAGGCGGAUACUUGUCUGGAGGGCCCGGGUUAGCCUGACCCCCUACGCUUGGGGUCGGGCGAGGCGGAGACUUGCGGCGGGGCGUCGGACGCUCCCGACACUAGACCUGCGGUCGCGCAAGGCGGAGCUUGGUCUUCCGGGGGUCGGGGGUGCCGGACCCCAGGAUGCGGGGUCGGGCGAGGUGGAGCGUAAUUCUUGCCUCCCAUGUUGGGCCGAUGGCAGUCUUUGUUACCUCUAGUGGGCUUGGGCCUUUAUGUUUUGUUGUUUCCAUGGGCUUCGAGAGGUCGUUAAUAUUUCCCCCCAACAGUAGCCCCCGAGCCUGUGGUGGAGUGGGGGCGCUCCUCCGGAGGCUACUAUCAUCGCCCCUAGGGAAUCCUCGCAGUUGAUCCGGGAUAGGAGGUGUUGUUUGCACGGCUUGACCGAGGGGGUCGAUUAGGCGACGCAUCCUGUGAGCGACUCGGUGCGGGAGGGUUUCUUGUUGUUCCCUUCUGUCUGAGAGCCUUAAGUCGAGACCACCUGCGUGGCCUUUGGUUGCAAGGCCAGCCCCCGAGCCCCCGCACGUUGCAGGGGACCGGUCGGAGGCUAGGUCGACUUUUGUUCAUUACCCUCAAGCGUCUGUUCGCUAGGACGGAGGGGGCGAGCCGUGCCAUGCUAUCCUCAUCGGACGAACCAUGGUGCUCAUUGAGUUACUAACGGGUUGAUUCGAGUGGGAUCCCGGUCCCCGUUCGGGGGGGGUCCGGCUUGGGCCAAGCUGGUGGCGUACCCCAGGCUCCGGUCGGCCAGUUCAUAUAGUUCCUGAGUCCGUUCGGUCGGACCGGGGGCUCAUUGCCUUUCUUCGGGGAAAAACCAUGAACUUUGAUGCCGGUCCAGACUCGAAUGUGAGAUUGAGACGCCCGGGGCUGUCGCGUGCCCGGGUGAUGGCCGCUAGCGGACCCGUCUCCUCUCACCCCUCACUCGGGGGUAUCCUGAGGCGGCUGUCGAACCCGUGGCGGGCCAGCCUUCGAACCUCUGGAUCGUAAUGGGCCGUAGGGGCGUUUUCAGCCCCGUAUCCCUUUUUACCUUUUGGUGGGCCUUGGGCCGAAUCAUGGAGGAGGUCGGGCCUUGGGCCGGAUGCGGAGGAUGUCGUGCCUUGGGCCGGAUGUGGGGGACGUCGUGCGUGUCUUCCGGGAGACGAAGUGGUGGAGGGUGCCAACCCGCGAAUCGAGGGAGGAGGGGAUGUUUCUACUGCAGGUCAUGCGCACGGUUUCCGAAAAGGCAGCGGGCGUGACGGGACGUACCUCGCGCCGCAUUUAUUGCGAUGGGGGCGUCUGUUCUGCUUCCCUCGUGCCUUCCCUAUAAAACGAGGACUUCGCCUCGCCGGUUCCGCCCGCCAUCUACCUUCAAGCCUUUUCGCCUCCUCGCGCGCCCUUAGCUUUCCUGUGCCCGCUUCGUCUUCCUCCGCCCAGUGCCGCGCCCUUUCUCCCCAUCCGCCGUCGAGUUCUUCUCCCUCCGGCGAUGGGAUCCUGGGCGCGUUCCCACUUCGGCCCCUCACGCGCCGAAGGCCUAGUGAGGAAAGGCCUCCUUUGCGAGAGGACGGAGACGGAUGAGUGGGGGUUCCCUGAGAUGGAAGAGGUGCCGACUCCGCCCACCGGCUACGUCGUUUCCUUUGCCCACUUCCACGAGAGGGGGUUUGCGACUCCGCCGAGCCUCUUCUUCCGCGGGCUUUUGUAUUACUACGGGCUUGAGCUGCAGCACCUCAACCCCAACGGGAUUCAGCACGUCGCGGCGUUCGUUGCGGUGUGCGAGGGGUUCCUGGGCAUUGAGCCCAACUUCUCGCUGUGGAAGUACUUCUUCACGGUCAGCCUAUACCAGAAGGCCGAGAAGAGGGGAAGCCAGCAGCGGUCGACCCCGGUGCCGAUAGGGUGCGUCGGAAUCCACCUCUGCCAUACUCGCGCCAAGGAGUAUAUCGCGAUGAAGACCGCGGCAUCCCACAAGGGGUGGCACCAGCAAUGGUUCUACGUGAAGAACUACUCCAACCCCCCCUGCCGGAGUUCACCGGCCGCAUUAUUGAAGCGGCGCCGGAGGUGUGGGUGUACGGCCCGGUGGAGAAGGAGAAGAAGCGGAUCACCGGCCUGCUGCAGGCCAUCGAGCACCUGAAGGAGAGGGGACUGACCGGAGCCGGAGUCAUCGGGGCGUACCACGCCCGGCGGGUGGCGCCGCUGAUGCUCCGGGUCCGCUCGCUCGCCGACAUGACCCCCGGUGCUCUCACCGAUGGCACUGUCCUCGCGACGGGUGCUCUCGCUGCCUCCGAGAUCCGGCAGCGGAUCCGGGAGGCGCUGGAGGACAAGGACGCCGAUUACCCGGUGCCCGGCCACCCUCCGAUGCGCCCGGACGAGAAUUUCAUUGAUCUGGUAAGGAUUUUGCGCGCCAGUUUCCCUCUCUUGCGUUUCUUGGUAUGCCGUUCUGACGCGAGGCCCUCUGUGUUUGCAGGGUAGCAUGACCCGGGUCGUCGACUUGCGUCCGCCAGUGUCGGAGGACGCCGAGUGGCGGUAGCAGAACCGUCUCCUUGCCGAGAAGCAAAAGUGACGCAAGGACAAGAGACAGCGAAGAAGAAGAAGAGGGCCGCCAAGGAGUUCCAGCGGCGGCGGUGGGGAUAGGUCGUGUCGGAUGACGAUGACGAUGAGAAGGAGGAGGAGGAUGACGAGGAGGAGGAGGAGUUUAUCCUGUCCCCCCGGUCAGGGGCGCUUGUUAUCCGGGAGCCGCGCUCCCAAGCGGCCAUGGGGGACAAGGCGGGCGAGCUGCCUGCCCGGACCCGAUCCUGCGAAGCUUUGGGGGCGCGCCCCAGGGGUCGGCGCAGAGCGCCCCCCGGGGGUCGACGGAGCCGACCCCCAUCCCUACACCUGCAGCCCAGGAGCAGAGGAGCAGCGACAAGCGGCCGUUGCCAGAUGCCCCGGGGUCGGCGUCCAGCUCAGAGGCGAAGCGCGCGCGCCGCCCUUGCGCUGGGGGAACGUGAGUUGAAUUUCCUUGCGAAUCUCGUUCCUUUCCAUGCAUUGUGUUUGUUUCCGCUGAUGCUGUUUGUUGUCUCACAGCACCGCCCCUCAAGGCCUUGUCCCGCCGUUGGCGCCAAAGAAGGCGUUGCGGUGUUGUCGCCUCUGCGGGGCGGACCGCGGCUCCGCCGGCGGCGAGUGGCGGGGUCACUGGUGAGACCGCGGGUCCUACCGCGGAGGUGGCCCCUGCGGCGGCAACCGGUGGAGUGGUGCCACCGCCGGGCAUGGGACAGGGUCUGGACCCCGCUCCGUCCUCCGCCUCUUCGGCCGACCCCGCGGUGCAGAGUAUCGCUCCUGGGGGCCCUCAGGCCGGGGAGGUGAUUGACCUCGACGCCGACGAGGUGGAGGAGACGGCGGCGGUGGAGACGGGGGCGGUUGCCCCAGCGGCCAUGACGGGGACGACGACGGCGACGGGGGAAGGAGAGUCUACCCCCGCGGCCACGGCGGGGACAGUGGCGACAGAGGAGGCGGGGACGCCCGCCCCGGCGGCUGCGACGGAGGAGGCGGCGGUGACGGAGACGGGGGCUUCCGCCCGGGAAGCCACAGCCGAGGUGGCAGCGGCGACGGAGGUGAAAGUGCCUGUUCUGGAGGCCACGGUGGGGGUGGGGACGCCUGCCUCGUGGCCACGACGGAGGGCGAGGCGGCCCCAGGGACACUUGCUCCGGCACCCGCGUUGGAGGCGGUGGCGCCGACGGGUUGGCCCGUGGCGGCCUCGACGGGGGCGGGGGUGCGUGCGCCGGGACCGUCGGUGAGGCCGGCGACUUCCGGGAUGGUGGUGCCCGUCUUGACGGCGGCGGCGGCGCGGUCGGCCCCCGCCCUUGCCUCUACCACUCCCAUUCCCAAGGCGUGGAGCGGAUCCGUCCUGCGUUGGUCGUCUCGUGACGACCCGCAGAGGCCCCUCUUCACGUUGGAUGAUGCCACAGAAUGGGGCAAGUGGCAGGCGCUGCAGGGCGGACUCGCUAACGUCCGCGCCGCUCUAUCUUCGGCGUUGGGGGAGCUGGACGGCGUCAUCUUCCCCGGUGGCCGGGUAUGGUGCUUUCUCCGUUGGUUAUUUUCUUCCCGUUACUUCGUCCCUGAUGGCACAUUGUUCUGCAGGCCCUCCAAGAAUGUAGCCGGGGAAAAUCUGAUUUCCUUUGGCUCGAGCAGGGGCUCUGGGAGCGCUUCAACUUGGAGUUGCAGCGGACCGGGGAGCUGACCAUGCAAGUCGCCACCGUCUAGCAUGUCAUCGACGAUCUGCGAAGGCACGAGCAGGCGGCACAGGAGGACGCGCGGCGGGCGGAGGCCAAGUUCCAGGUCGUUGCCGAAAGGGCUCGCUGCGACCGCGAGGAGUUCCAGGCCGUUGCCGAAAAGGCCCGCCACGACGCUGAGGAGCUCGCACGGCUGAAGGUGCAGCAUGAAGCUCUUCAGAAGAGCGGCAGAGGGCCUGGCAGGACCGGGACGCCGAGAAGGUCCGGAAGGAGGAGGCUGAGAAGGUGGCGGCCAACCUUGGGGCUGAGGUCAGCCAGCUCCAAGUGCAAGCGCGAGAGCUUCAGGCCUCCGUGGCCCAGGGGCUCGACCAGGAGCGCCAGCUGAAGGCCUAAUCCGAGGGUAUGACUCUGUUUAUUUCUUUGUCUUUGUGAUGUUGCGGUGAUAUUUUAUUUGGCGGGUUCUUCUGGAUGAUCCUUGCAGAUGAGCUCAACUGGCUGAGGGAGGUGCUUGACGCGGAGCGCGCUGAGCACGGCGACCUGCGGGACGCGGUCCGCGUCAUCUGUGACUUCCUUAGUGUGGUCCAGGGGGAGGGGACGAGCUCGCUGGCGGCUCGUGUCCUCGGGACGUACCGCCGGACCAGCGAGAUCGCCCUGGAAGCGCUUCGCACCGGCUUGAGGCAAGCCUUUGGGGUCUUCGGCUCCCACUAUUCCGGCAUCAACUUCGCCGGGAUGAGCGGGGGAUACGCCACCGGCUACUACGAGGCCGAGCUGGAUGAGAUCGACGUGUCGGUGCUCAGCCCGGCGGAGGCCUUGGUGAAGCUCCUCGAGGAUGAGGCCGUCCCGCCCGAAGAUCCCCGGACGAGUUAACUAUAUCGGGCUGGCGCCCCAGAUGUAAAUACGUUAGGGAAAGACUUGUUUUUUGUGAGGGCCGUAGAGGCCUUUUCUAUGAAUUGUCGUAAAAAAGUUUUUGAUUCCCUUUCUUGCUUUUUGGACUUGGAAAGUUUAGAGCACGUUGUCGGGCGUGUCAGUAAGCUUUGAUGAGCGAAGGCACCGUAGCCGCUGGGGCGUCGUUUUUUUUGCAGUCCGAUCAAUCUUGCCUGAACACCGUUCGUGCACUUUCUCCUUUUUAUGCCCAAAAGUUCAGAAAGAGGGUCGGCUCGGAAAGAGAAAGCGUUUUGAGAGGGUGUCAAGUGGCUUAGGUACUUGCGGCAGGUUGCGUGGUGGACGCGGAUAUCCUUCUCCCUGACAGAUCUGCGGCGCAUUUAUGGUGAGAUCAACAUGGGGACCCACAAGACCCGCGCCCAAGGCGGAUACUUGUCUGGAGGGCCCGGGUUAGCCCGACCCCCUACGCUUGGGGUCAGGCGAGGCGGAGACUUGCGGCGGGGGGUUGGACGCUCCUGACCCUAGACCUGCGGUCGGGCGAGGCGGAGCUUGGUCUUCCAGGGGUCGGGGGCGCCUUACCCCGGGAUGCGGGGUCGGGCGAGGCGGAGCGUAAUUCUUGCCUCCCAUGUUGGGCCGACGGCAAUCUUUGUUACCUUGGGUGGGCCUGGGCCUUUAUGUUUUGUUGUUUCCAUGGGCUUCGAGAGGUCGUUAAUAUUUCCCCCCAACACUAUGAGGAGGACUUGUGGGCAGAAAGUCAGCUACCACAAACUUGCCUCUGAAUAUUUGGAGUGCAAACAUUGGAUGGUGGUUGUGGAGAGCCCCAGCCAUACCUCGCACCCGUGGAGAGGUAAUUGUCGGAUUGCUUGGUUCGUCUCUAGAAUGCGACAAGGUCAGGCGCCACCUCUCACUGCUGCCAGUCAGAAGGCCGAGGGGCCAGUUUCAACAUAGUAAUGAGAAUCUCCGAAGGCCAAUAUGGUUAAGCAGCUAACCUCCAUGAUCAUAGACUUACGUUUAGAAAAUAGGAGGCUUAGCGAUGCGUUAACAGAGCAGAAGUUAGAAACAGAAGAACUUAAGGACGACUUCCGUGUCCUCCGCCUUGGUCUUUGUGCUAAGAUAAAGCGCUUGUACAAUGCCACGGGGAAUGACGGUCUCUACGAUGCAGCUCAAUAGACGUGCCCCUUGUAUCCUUUCCUUUAGGCACUUUAGAAUAUGUUUAUUUGUUUUCCUUCAUUUUAAUUUCCAAUAGAUUGUUAGCGCCUCCAAUUUAAUUUCAAUAAAGUGUAGACUCACCGGUCAUCCAACUUGAUGGAGUCCUUUUGUCACCUAGUUGUCUUUGGAAGAAGUAGCUGGGUACAAAAUAAGUGUGGGGGAGAGCCACAGACUCUCUAGAGCUGAAACAAUGCACAACACCCACAAAUAGAGAAAACCACGCUGCACCAGCACGUACGUGAAAGUGGAGCCAGAGCUGGACCCAUAGGGGUUUGGCCAACCCAAGGGGUGGCCCACUCGGGCCAUCUUCAUCCACCGCGUCGGUUUGUGUCUCUUUACCCCUGAUCUCCCUGAUUCAUGAGUUUGAAUGAAUUUUAAAUCUGAUCAACUAAUUCAAACUCAACUAAAAUGAAUCAACUGCUCCACCUGCUCUACAUGUUUUCUAUGGUUGGCUUGCAUAUGUUUUAUUUCAUGCUUAUCAUCUUGAUGCUUGUGAACAAAUAUCUUUAGGACAGCAUGCUCAUCUAAGUAGUUGAUGUGUAUGAUAUGGUUCGAUGAUAUGAUCUUCACUCUUAAUGCUUAAGUGCUUGGGAAAAUCUAUUUGAAAAUUUAAAAGCCUUUUUGAAAUCUCCUCUUUGAUGUGCCAAAGUCCUACCAAAGCCAUAUGAUAAGUUAUCUUGAAAAACCAUUUGCAUAUGUUGCUUGUCUUUGCAUUGAGCUUUGUCAAAUUGGUGUGACCCUUGUCACAAUUCUUUUCAUACUUUCAUGAUCAAGACUCAUGUGCACGCCAUAUACCCCUUGCUAUGCUUCUAUGAGAUGUUAGCAUUGUACCAUCCAUUCAUUCCACAAAAUAAAUGCUCCACCAUAUGUGUUGGUCUCCUUCUAAGAUUAUUGUUACAAAAGAGAUAUGGGCUAUCAAAAAAAAAUAUGAAUGUCCAAGAAAGUUGGACACAUGAAUGUCCAAUAAAAAGAAAAAGAAAGAUAGCCAUGUCCUCAGAAAUAUUUACAAAGGGAGAGAGAUCAUACAAAAAGGAGUUUCCAUUCCAUCCACCACAUCCAUACAUGUGCACAUCUUGAUCUGAUUGUAUGACUUAUUUUUCUCUUUGGAUCUGGUCUUUGACUUUGCAAUAUAUGUGAUGCAAGCAUGCCUUAUCCUUCAUAGCCUACCUUGAGCUCCACAUAUAGCCAUCAUUAGAAGUAGGAUGAAGAAAGGCAAGUCUAAUGCCUUGGUGAGGACAUAUACACAUUGAGUGAUCUGAGAGAAUCAAAUGAGGAGCUAAGCAAGGUUUUGUUUUGAAAACUAAUUGAAAAAUCCCAAGCUACUUGGCAUAAGGAGUUGAGGUGACUUGAUUCAAGACCAUUACAUUCCUCAACUACCCAAGAUGGCAUGAUAGACACUCCAAAGUUCACAAGUGCAGGUAUGGUUUGGAAUAUCUUUUAGGCUCGCUUCAUACCUUUGAAAGUUAUGUUUCACCUUAGUCCUUUCUCGUUCACUCAAGGAUAAGCAAAGGCUAAGUGUGGGGGUGUUGUUGAUGGCUCUUAAGUACAAAAUCUGCGCCAUCAACUCUUGCAUAAACACAUAAAAUAUGAGCAUCAACAAUAGUGGUAGGAGUUAUUACAAACGAAUUCCACAAGUCUUGGUGAAUAUUUGUAUGCAAGCCCAAUAGGAGAGAAAAGACACCUCAAAAGCAAGGAAACACACUCUCAACCAAUCAAGAGCAAGCACAUGGAACCAUGGGCCCACAACCAAAAGGAAAUCGACUACAUUCCAAACACCCUAUACCCACAUGAGAACCCAUAGGGCAGUGACCCAGAGCAAAGGUGAUGCCAGAGUGUAGAUGGUAGUUAGCAUGCCAAAUUUUGAACCGCAAGCGCUCGGAUUAGUUGUUUCUUUUCCCUUAGAGAUUCCCCCAAGGUUUAUCAAUCCAUGGAACAAGGGAUUUGCACGUUUCACUAAGCACUAAUCAAUGUAAUUGAAAGCUUUUCGAAUAAGAUAUGAUUAUGCUAACAAAGGAACUAAGCAAUCUAGAUUAAGAUGGAUAGAGAGUACAGGUUGUGAACAAGAUAGAUUAAACGCUUGUAGAUGCAAUCACCAUGCAUGAAUGAAUUAGAUCUAGGUGUUAUUGUGAGUGGUUGUGAACCAUGCCCAACACUUUCCCACCCGCAACAUUGUCACUACAUGUGGGUACUCAACUAUCGGAACAUAAGAACACAUCAAGAUGAUCAUUCUAGGUAAGCAAAUAAGCAACCCAAAGUAGCGCUGGCCAGCCUUUUCAUGAAAGAGCAUCAUCAAGAUAAGAUUGAUAACAAAAUAGAUCUCAACCAAAGGUUCAGCGAUUACAAAUCAAGAUCUUCGUAUAACCCCGAUGACAAAUAGAGGUAUUACCCCCAUGAUCUUACACAUGUUGAUGAAUUUUAGGGUAAAGGACACCCUGUAGAUCAACUGGACCAAAGAUGAUGAUGAACGGGGGCAGGGAAGGCCCAGGUUGAUCAGCCUGCGCACUUUUGAGCCGAUCAGCUCAGGGGGUUUCCUCCUCCCCUGGUGCUCCUCUUCGCGUGGCCUCCUCUGGAUCCAAUCUUCUCUUCAUUUCUCCUACUUGUGGCGGCAAUGGAUGGUGUUUGCAUGGUGAUUUCCUCUUCUCCCCAACUCUCCCUCCUUGAAGUCCAUGAGGGGGUAUUAAUAGUCUCCAAUAGGCGGCAGCUCUGGGUCAAUGUCAGUGAAAAAAUCCUAGAGAUCAUCGUACACUUCAUGCUGAGGAAACAAGAGGUUGACCGAGCCCUGGGAUAGACCAAGAGGAUCAUCCUAGAGGGUCCCAGGCUAAUCGGUCUAGGCCCUUCCUAGCCCUUCUAGUCCUCUCCUUCCUCGUGCUGGCUUUUCUCGAUGACCCUUGUCCAAAUAUCCAUGAAGCUCUAUAUACAUACCCCCUUGAUUAUGUUGUAUUUCCUGUCAAAAUACAAUGCUCCAAAAUACAACACAUAUGCAAUAAUAGGGUUAUUUCAGGUGCCAAUUGGUGGGUUAGUAUACGAAUAAGCAUGAAAAUACUGUUUAAAUGACACUAAAAGUGUGUCAAUAACGAGCACCAACAAUCCCCCCACGCUUAGAUCUUGCUCGUCCUCGAGCAAGUCUAGCGACUAAAAGAUCUUGAAUUAAACCUGAGCAAGCGAGUCAAGUACCUAGCCUUGAAACAAAAGAUUAGAGGAGCAGCAAAGAUAAUCAAAGUCUGGGUGUUCAAAGAUUUAUCUAAGCAAAGAUUCCCCUACAACUAUUAUUCAGAACCAAGUAACUUCAAAAAUCAACUACACUUAUUUUCUGGCUUUUUUCAGAGGGUUUUUCUUUCAUCAUAAAACAAUCUCCCUGCAACAAAAUUGAAAAAAGAAUUAUUUUCAAGGUGCUUACAUGUCGCUUAAAUGAAUGUUGGCUAUCCUACUUAUUUGCAAGCUCUCAUCUCUCAAAAUUCAUUCAAUUAUAUGGUGGAGUUUGGGUAAGGUUAGCUAGAAUCAACACGUAUAUUAUUGAAUUAAGAAAACCCUCUAACGGUGGCCUACCUUCCGAGCCAUUGAUCAUAAGAAUAUCCACAUAAUGUGAAGUUUUCAAGGAUGAGAAGAUAUAGAAUGGUGGACAUGUGCAAAGGCAAAGAAAUAUAGUGACUCUGAGGCACAAGCAAUGUCCUCGUCGUUGGAUUGCAUAUGGUUGUAAUGAAAAUAUGUUCCUUAAACAAGUCUAUCUUUUCUUUGCACCACUCUUGAUCUUCAUGACAGUAAAAACUCCUCCUUUAUUUCUUUCUCUCUUUUCCUAUUAUUUCUUUUUAUUUGUCUCAAUACUUUUAUUUCUUUAUUUCUUUAUUUUAAUCUCUUCUCUGAACCUCUUCUGAACACCACAUAAUAAAAAUAAGUUUUAGAUCCUUCCAGAGACCUUCCAGGAAUUUGCUACAUGAAAACCGAGGCAAGGAGACCCCAGGCCGAUUGGCCUAGCCACUCCUUUGCUCUCCUCUAGCUCUUCUUUCUGGUGAAGCUUCCUUAUCUUGUAUCUUUCCAAAAAUUUCAUAAAGCUCGACUAGAAACGGAACAGAUCUUCAUAUAAUGAGUUGUGUUCAAGGAAUUGGUAAUAAAAUUGAGAAAUUUGUGGUUCGGGUUUACGAAUUCAGUACAAAAAUAUGAUUGUUCCAAUGAAGAACUCUCAUUACUGAAUAUUGACGAGGCAAGCAUUCAAAGAUGGUAAAAAGGAUAUGAUCAAUUCUCAAAAUUAAAGCAAACCAAGAGAGAGCGAUCCUAAUUCAAUUCAAAGUGUCAAAUGUUGCUUAUGGUGGUAUGAAUAAAUAUUUUUAGGCAUUGGGUAGGAUAAAUAAAAACUCUCAACCUGGUUAAAAGAUAUUGAUCAAUCUUGUUUUUGCAGAGGUUUUAAAUAAAAAAUAAAAUUUUAAAUCACCUCCAAUUCAAAGCCUUACUCAUAAAUCAUAAUCAAAACUGAAGCACUUGAUCAUCAUAAAGCAUGGGUAUUGCAUAAACAAAUCGAUUACUAAAACUCCACAACUACGAUUUAGAAUUCAAGACAAUGCUCAUAAUCUAAAGUUGCAAAGAUAAAAUAAAAGACAACCAAGCCAAGGUAGACACUAAAAACACUUGCACGAUCCUUGAAUUUUAUUCAUGCUUCUUCUCACAAAGACGCUAAAGUAGCCAUGUAGGCCUAAGUCUUCCCAAAAGCUUAAGAAAACUACUACUUUAUCUACUUUUGGUUGAAAUAAAAAGACUAAUCUAGACUCUCACAUGAUUCGACUCGACCAAAUUAGAUCCAAAAACUCAUACGAGCGACGAUCUCCCCCCCCUCACGCUUAAAAUCUACGACCUCCUCGUCGUAGCCAUAUGGAGUACAAGGAAAAGAAGCUUGUAAACGCUCUAAUGACGCUACCCGCACUACUUGCACACGGGAUGGUUGCUGCUUCCUUCGCUUUGUUCUUCCUCAUGUUGCUGCACAUCCCGAAGAGCUUCCUCACGUUCCUCUGCAAGAACUUGAACUCGUCCUCCUGACGGCGAUCAUUAUCUUCUGCCUUUUGAUCCAGAGCUUGUAAGGCUUGCAUGAUGUCAUCGAACGCAUCGAAGAGGUAGUGGAUGUUCUUCCUGCAAGCUGUGGAACAUGUACGAUCAUGCUCCUCCGAUUCUGGCCCGUCGUCUUCUAGAUCCUUCUCUUUGCCCUUGUCUUGACGGUGGCUAUCUUGCUCCUUGCUCGCCUUCUUGCCUUCAGCCCAAUCCCAGUACGUGUUGUCAUCUUCUUCAUCGUCACGGCCUGCAGCACCCUAUGAUCCAUUGUCUAUCUUGUAUGAAAGAAUCAGAAGCUUGUUCUCCUCAGGGUGUCUUGCGCGGUGCAGCGUUUGCAAGUGCAAGACUUGCUAGUUCCUUUUACACAUUGUAAUGUUCAUUGCAUGCUCUAAUUGUUCUACAUUUGUAAUUUCUUGGUGAAGUUUGGUUACUGAUCCACUGUUUGAUUAACUCUUGGGCCCAAACACUGUACUACUUCUGAUUAGAUAUCUGUAUCUUGACUUUGACCAAAAAAAAUAUCCGGCAGUUUUUGCCAUUAAAGUUUCAUAAAUCAUCUUGCAAAAAUCGUACUAUACAACAAGGGACGGUUUAUUAUAAAAUAUACGUUCCCCUUAUCACAUGCCACUUCCACUCAAAAGGCAACGAAUCAGUUUUCAAUCCUGAGUGAGCAAUUUGCUUUUAUUACCGAUGCCUCCUAUUCCCUUGUGCACCAAGUUUAUUUUGGAUAGGGCUGCAAAAAACGACUAACCAGCUCGGAUUCUCCACCUGCAAAACCGCAUCUGCAGCAACCAACCCCACGCGGUGGAAAAAAAAACAAAACCUAGAAACCGGACGGGGGUGGAUGUGGGGCUCGGAGCCCAAGCAAAAAACGGAUCGGGAGCGCCGGAGCAGGCCAUCACCGGAUGUUAGAGAUAGAAAAUGGUUGAAGUUUGGAGUGGAAAUCAAACAAGCCUUGGAGCAAAGGAAAAAAAAAGAUCAAACCACUCAAGCAUUCAUUUGAUUUAGAAAAGAGAACAUUUGUUAAGGUGGGGAGUUGAAAUCAUCUUUUAAUUAGUUCCACGUAUCUGGUAUCAUUACAGUUGGUUUACUUGUGUAAGUAUAAGUAGCUCUGCCGAAGCCUUUGCUCCUAUAAUUUAGUAACUAGUACAAAUGGAUCAAUAGGAAAAUCAAGUUGCAAUCAUUUCUCAGCCAACCAAACCUAUGUAAAUCAAAUUAUUGUCCAUGCCCGGCAUGCACAGGUGCCUGCCAUGCAUGCAUUGUUGCUCCAUUGUAAUAACCAUUAUUGUCCAUCGAUGUUGCAGCGCAUGUGUGCACUGUGCAGACACCAAGCAUCGAGAUUAUGUACUAGUAAGGUGUUGAAAUAAUGGGCCUAGCCCAUAAGUAAUUUCAGAAUUUCAAAUAAAUCUCAAAGGCCCAUGUGGGCAAGAGGUGGAGUGGUGCAAGUCUUUAGUCCCACAUUGCUAGUCGAGGGGAGGGAUGACCAACUUAAAUAUGGAAGUUGUCUCCACUCCUCCAAGCUAUGUGUGAAGGGCGCGGGCGCGAGGCACUUGCGUGAAUGGUCCGCCGAAAUCUGGCCCCCCUUGCGGGGGCGCGGCUUCCUUUUGCCGUUUUAUUUUUUGGUUACUUGGUCGUUAAGUCAUGGAAUCCUAACCGGUUUAGAUCACGAUCGUGAAGGUUUUUGGGAAGCGCUCUGCGCGACUGCUCGAUCGCUUCUUCCGCUUCGUCAAGUUCUUCGUCGACUCCUUCACCACGGCUCGUCUACCUCUUCGUCGCUCGGGCCUCACUCGUCGUCGCGAACAACGUCAGGCUGCUGAUCGUCGUCGCCUGCUGUAUCCGGUAGUCGUCCAGGAGCCGGUUUUCAUCAAGAAAGAAACGUACGGUCUCUUAACUCACAUUAUGUCUUCCAUACUAGCUAUUAUGAUUGUUGCAGUCUGAUAGCUCUGGAUAGUAUGGUAGAAUGUCUGAUUCUAUUUGCAAUGAUAGACUUGUCUAGAUCUUGCGUAGACAUGUCUAGUUUAAUCUGCUGCUUGUUCAUCAUAUUCAUGAUUUAUUUCUGGAUUAAGUUAAAACUAAAAGUGCUUAUAUAUCCAACAUAAGGUACCAAGAACACGUGAAGCACCCGGGGGAGGCUGCUCCACUCCGCAUGCACAGGUGGGCACGGCACCACUACUCGUCUCCUUCAGGCUGAGGAUAAGUGAUGUACGCUGAUCAACAGACCACGACGGAACCAGCAAUAAUAGUUUCAGCCUGCCUCACAGUAAUUAAUAUAUCCUGUAUCCUCCGAGGACCCCUCCCCUUAAUCUUGGCCUAUUGCAUCCAAUAAUGAUAUGUGUGUUUAUCCAAAUUUACGGCACCUUUGGCGGGGGUUCCACCCAGCUCCGCCCUCUCCACCUUCGGUACUCCAUGGGAAACCAUUCCUUUGGAAUCAAGGAAGCUUGAACAGUAUAACGAAUAAAGUUUCAUAUAUCCAUUUGAUUUCACAUGAAAUAAAAUAUUCUGUCAGAACCAAUGGUUUCACUGAAGCUCCAGGCAGCGAGCGAAGGGGUGAGAGAGGAUAACGCUUACUGUGUGUUACCAUCGCGUGCACCAUGGAUGACCAACGCGCAGCCGAGAUGAAACGGCGGACCUAAACAGGUCCUCGCUAUUUUUGCAGGUUCUCGACCAGGCCAGUUCUUUAGGCCAACCUAUCAUUCACGAGUUAAACAUACGGUGGCUGGAGAAAUGUUCUAUUCUUUUAAACAAUACCAGCUGGUUCCUCCGUUUUUAUUCCACCAAUACAAGCACCACCUUGUAACAUUUCCUAUGUUUUUUUUCCUUUCGUCUGUUUUCUCACUACAUGCGUUGCUCUUUCAUGCAUUUUUUUCCAUUCCUGUAUUCCAAAUAGGUCUACAUGAACACAAAAUGAACUAGGGGACAGAAAAAGCCAGUGAAGUUAGUUUUGAGCUUCACCAGCUACUUGCUACAUAAAGUGUGCUAUAGUCGCAGAAAAGCUAAGCUGGAUCAGACGUGGCCGAAACAAUGCCAAAGAGCUAGGUCCCUAGCUGAUGGCAACACAUCAGAUGACUAGCCUGCUUUUCUGUAAUAAUGAUAUUGAGCAAUACACUGCAUGGCUAACCUGCUUUACAAUAAUUGUCAUUUUAUAAUAUUGGUCAUCACGAGAGAUGCACAUUGCAUACACCGGCCCAUCCCUAUAAAUAGCCAAGCCUUUCAGCCAUCUUGGGCACCUCCUCUCAGGGCCUCGUCUCACCAUCAGACAUCUCGUUCCCAGUUAUAAUUUGCGAGGUUAGAUCAGGCUGCGCCAUGGCGUCCGCAACUGCUGUCAAGAUCGUCGCCACCUUCAUGCUGGUGCUGACCAUGGGCCACCUGAUGGCCGAAGCAUCACCGCAGCCUCGGCGUGUGCUUGCAGAAACGGAGCAUGCUGCGGUGUCCGGGAAUCCUGGCCUCCCAGGUGAUGCUAGCGUCAUGCAGGUCCUCGAACCCGCCCUAGUUUCUCGGCUUGCCUGCAAACCAGAGUGCACAGUCCCUUGGCCUCCUUUUGUAUGUAUCUGCUAGAUCCUCUUCCUGGCUCAACGGAACUUCAGGGAAAUGGCUGUGACGUCGGCCAAAGAAUAAAUUGGAUGAACAUAAUAUACCCCGGGUAGUGUAGCUUGGGCUUUUGUUGAGCGUCUGGUGCUAGUUGUAUUUUGUUUGCUCAUGUGGCUUUGCUUCUGGUUGCAUAUUGGCUUUCCUAUCGCUCUCUGUUGCAGCUAUGGUUUCUGCCAGGUGUGUGUUAAUGCGGUUUGUAAGCGGUGCUUGUUCCUACCUUCUGUUUUCAAUAAAAGAAGUCGGAGUCUCCCUCCGACUCUUGUUAUCAGUCAACAAAAAUGAGUUGUAUCAUAUAUAUCUGCGUCUUUUUUCUACGUAUCUUUGGGCUGCUUCAGCUGGAAGUUUAUCGUAAGUACGUGUAUCAGGAUGAUCGUUUGAAUUAAAACGAAAUGAUAAUGUGUGGCUGCUAGAAAUGGAAUGAGCAUCUUACUAUAUUACUAAUUGGAAGCCUCCACGUGAAGCCACCUAGAAAUUCUAGGUGGACGUUUUAAAAAAAACAAAACUCAUAGAAGCCUCCACCACCUAGGAAUCCUAGGUGGACACUCUAAAAAGAGACAAAUCCUAGAAAUUCUAAAAAAAGAAAAAAAUAAUAACAAUAAGAUUUUUUUGCAGUCAAUUACAUAUAUUUUUUUGAGACACCGUGCUGCUAGCUCUUGCCAUUGCGACCAGUAAAGCAAGCAGAUAGUAAGAUGACAUGCGUGUGGAUUGAUUAAAACAAAUUCAGUUAGUUGAUUCUAAAUCGUAUGUAUCCUAAAAGGAAGAUAUGUGCGUGCAUGGUCCCUAGCGAUGACAUGUAGACAUGUAUUGCAAUUUCUUUUUUAAAAAACAUGUCUAUCUCUAAACCAACAAACAGAAAAAAUAUCAAUCUAAAUCUAAAUCUCUUCCGUUCUCACACGCCUAUUAAAGAGAAGACAACCAAUCCCAUCCAUGUUCCAUAGAAUCCAUCUAAAAGCUUGCUCACUGCGGACGGCAUUUGACGGCAAAUCAAUGAAAGAUCAUCCUCUCCAAAUAGCUGGACGGCAUCACCAUCUUUAUCUCACCAACCUACAGAGCUACAACGAUGUUGUAGAGAUCAACUAGGUAACCUACCAAUCACCCUCCCCUUUUCUAUAUGCUCUAAAGAACACGUGGAGUAAUUAUAGGCCUAUAGGAGCCGACUAACCUAGAUUAAUAUGAAAAAUAUUCCAAUAUUAAAAGCAAGCAGAUAGUAAUACUUGCCUUUGACCAUUUUUCUAGAACUGUUAUUCCUAUUGAAUGUUCAAGUGCUACGGCCAGGCAUCGAAUGCCUGCACGGAACCUUCCUAUUGAAUGGUUACUCUAGAGAUCAACGCACCGCGAGACAUUUUUAUGGAAUUUGUUUGAUUCCCCUUCUACAAUUAGAUUAAUUUUUCAUGGCAUAUAUUACUACUAUUAAAUUAUUUGUUUAUUGUCGGGCCUGCUGCAUGUGUGGUAUAUAUGACUUGCUUCUCACCAUUGUUCUCAAACUAUUAUUCCUAUCGAAUCUUUCUAUCGAAAUAUAUUUUAAUUACUUGAUUGUUGUUUGUGUACCAUAACUUCUGUAUAGAAAAAUUCCAUGUUUGUAGAUAAUGUCUUUUGUAUAGAAAAAUAGCCCAAUUAGAUCCAUCACCAUCUUUUGCUUAUGUAGUUGAACAAGUUGCAAUGUUGAACAAAACUUUAAGUGAAAUUAGACCAGGAAAAGGAAUUGUGGAACAUUAAGGCAAGGGUAACCAGAUUGUGGAAUGCAACCUUACUCAGUAGUGGCGAACAAUUAAGUCUUGACAUGAUCCUUAUUGAUCAAAAGGUAUGAUAGAUGUUCACUUUGAUUGCAUUAUUGGUAUAAUUUUUGGUUUACAAAUUAUUAAUGAUGAUGCAAAAUUAGGGAACCAUGAUCCACGGUGUUAUCAAUAAGCCCUAUAUGAAAAAGUUCAAACCAUUGAUUGAAGAAGGCAAUGUGUACAUAAUUGCAAAUGUCAGAAUCACACCAGAACCACAGAAGUAUCGGCCAGUGGAAAAUGACAGGAUAGUCAACUUCUUACCCACAACUGCACUAAAAACGAUCAAAGAUACUGAAGACAUUCCAAAGUAUAGUUUUAACUUCAUGAGCACGGAUAUGCUUUCAGCAAGAAUAAAUGUGGACAUGUACCUAUUAGGUAAAACAUUACUGGCUUUUCAAUUUUUACACUUCCACUCAUUAAAUGACCAUCUAAUAAUAAUACAUAUUUAUGUUUCAUAGAUGUUAUAGGUAUCUCAGCUCACAUUGGACCGAUAGAAGAAACAAGGACAAACUUCGGAUUUACUAAAAUCCGUGAUAUUGUGCUCCUGAUCGAGUAAUUCUCUUUUCUUUUGUAGAAAACAACUACAAAACUUUCAACAUUUACAUGUAUGUUAUAGAACUUCUGUUGAACUAAAAAAUAUCUUCUACAGUGCCCCUACAAAUAAUUAAUUUCGUAGUUGGAUAUUUAAAAUAUUUAUUAUUCACUUUUAAAUUUGUGGCCAUGAAGUUAAAGUUAGAUUUUGGGGAGACAAAGUUGAGGAAGUUGAUGAUAAGACAAAAUCCCAUGUCAUUGCAAUAACAUCUACAACUGUGAGUAAAUUUGGCAGUAAGUCUUCAUUCAAUAUGAGUUAUUCAAUAUUAGUCAUUCAACAAACUAACCUCGUAAGAAAAAUAAAUAAUUGAUGUUUUAUCAGGGUAUUCUCUAUCGUCAACCAAUGCAACAAAACUUUAUGUAGAUCUACCUAUUCCUGAAACUAAGGAUGCACAUGAUAGGUGAGAAAAAUUAGAUAUUGUUUUUCUAUUUUAAUCUAUGUAGCAUGCACUCUAACAUGAUACAUUCUUUCAUAUGAUAAAAAAAUGUUAGUUCAAUUGAAAAUAUUGUCAAAGAGAUUCAUAUUGAGGACCAUCUAAAAGGGACAUUGGAAGACCAAAUGCAGUACAAUAGAAGAACUUUAGAAGAAUUAAAUUUCAUAUUAUUUGAAACAUCAAAUCAGGUAUGGAUUAGUAUGUUCAUUGUACACUAUACUAUUUAAAGACUUACAUACAUAAUGAUGGUAUUGUUCCUACUUUCAGGAUGAGGUAUUUACUAUUGAAGCAACAAUAAAUGAAAUUAAUGCAACAUAUGGUUGGUUGUCACACCCGAUUUUAAGGACAAAAUUGAGUGCAUUAAAUACAUGUGCACCAGGAUCAAGUUACACACAUCCUAUGAGUACCGUCCUUCUUUGGCACAAAGAUAACCGGUGCUCCCCAUGGUGAUGAACUAGGCCGAAUAAACUAUUUUGCUGAUAAUUCCUCUAGUUGUUGUUUCAAUUCUUUUAAUUGUUCAACCAACAUUCUAUAAGGACGUUUGGAGAUAGGUGCAGUACCAGGUAAAAGAUCAAUAGCAAAUUCAAUGUCGCGGUCAGGUGGCAUACCUGGUAAAUCGUCGGGGAACACAUCCGGAUAGUCACACACCACUUUGAUAUCUUCCAAGGAUUUUCCAGCCAACUGAUUAACUGCACAAUCUGCUGCUGAGGGUAGAGUAGCUACAAACUCCACUUUCUCUCCAUCAGGACCUGUUAGCAGAACUGUCCUCUUGGCACACUGAAUCGUUGCAUCAAAAGCGGCUAACCACCUCAUCCCCAGAAUUACAUCGAUUCCACUGGACUCAAGGACGAUAAGAUCAGCCGGAAACUCUAUACCCAUUAUUCUCAGUUUAACUUGUGGACAGAUGUAUUGAGCCUUCAUUGACCCCCCAGGUGAACUCACUAGCAUAUGACGCCUCAUGGUAUGCAUGGGUAAAUUAUGCUUUGCUACAUAAUGACUAGUGACAAAAGAAUGCGAUGCUCCAGAGUCAAAUAAAACUGAUGCGGGGGCAGAGUUGACAAAGAACAUACCAAGCACUACAUCUGGAGCCUCCUUAGCAGUCUCGGCUUCCAUGUGGUUCACCUUGCCACAAACAAAGCUUUGCUGCCCCUGAUUGCCUUGUGGGGUCUGGUUCCCAUUCCUCGGUUGCUGCAUCUGAUUCUGCCGAGGAGCACUGCUGUUCUGCACGGGGGUAGCUGGCCCACCUCUCUUAGGACAAGAGCUGGCAUAGUGACCAACCUCGCCACACUUGAAGCAGGUAGGACCCACUGGAGCAUUGGGCCUUGUUGGAGUGCCAGUAGGGGUCAUCUGGCGGUUCUGCGUAAAGCUUGGGCGCGGAGUCUGCAUAGUCUGCAUCCCUGGAUGCUGGAACUGAGGGCUAGGGCGCUGGAAUGACUGCUGAGCAGGGCGCGGAAAUGAGUGCUGCCAAAAAUUCCCACUCGGGCCCCCUGCGCGGAACGGCGUCCCUUGCUGUGGAGCAAAGCGAGGGCGGGUGUUGCUUCCUGAAGACUACUGGGAAUUGAAUUUCCUCUUCAUCUCCCCGAGCUCGUUCCUCUUGUGUUCCAGGCCAAUUGCCUUGUCUAGCAUCUUCUGGAAACUGGGGAAGGUGUGCGACAUAAGCUGAUAUUGGAGUGGUCCAAUCAACCCAUCCAAGAAUAGCUCCUGCUUCUGCUCAUCAUCAGCAACAUCUUCGGGAGCAUAUCGGGACAACUGGACAAACUUGUCCCUGUACUCUGCCACUGUCAUGUUCCCCUGCUUGAGAGCAAGGAACUCCUUCUUCUUAAGCUUCAUCAAUCCGGAAGGAAUAUGAUGACUUCUGAAGCUAGUCCUGAAUUCAUCCCAGGUGAUGCCAUUAGCAUUGGCAUGGGUGGUGGUGUAAGCAUCCCACCAAUCAGCAGCUGGCCCUUCCAGGCGUCCUGAAGCAUACAGGACCUUCUCCCUGUCAGUACAUUGGGCGAUAUCCAGCAUCUUCUCCACUGUUUUCAGCCAAUCAUCAGCAUCUAAUGGAUCCGGAGAAUGUGAAAACGUCGGGGGCUUGUGGCUCAUGAACUCCCUAUGCCUGUCCCUUGGCGGCGGCUGCUGCUGGUUGUUGUUGUUGUUAUUGUUCAGCUGAGCUUGUAAAGCUGCCACGGUGUUGGUCAGUCCGGCGAGAAGCUGAGUCUGAGCUGCUAGAAACUGCUCCAUCCCUGCAGGUGCUUGUUGGUUCUGUUGCGGAGCGGUGUUGGGAUUGCUGCUGUUGUCCCUGUGGCGUGGCACUGUGGGACGGUCAACUCCUGAUCCGGACCUGGUGUUUACCAUCUGAGCGUUAGAGACAAUGGAUUUAGAUAGAUGUGUGAAAGAAUAACUGAGAAAGAUAAAGCGACCAGAUGUAAAAGUAACACAGAUUCUGUUAGCUCCAUUUAAUUAGGUGUGGUCGUCAGAAGAAGUGUCCAUAAAUUCUGAACAAUUACCAAGUCGUAACUUAUUAAAUUUGUAAACCAACCCAACUGGAAUCAUCUCAAUCGGACUUCUGGAUCUCGAGUUACAAAAUUAACAAGCUGACAGUGUCGGUCGAUAGGUUCAGAUUCUGAGUGCUUUACUAAUUCGCAUACACCUCCCAGACAGAUACACCAAAAAUUCUGAAAAAUUUACAGAUAGUACUCCACGAAAUUCUGAAACUAACCCCACUGGUUUCAUGUCAUUUGGACUUCUGUAGCUAGAGAUAUAAAUAAAAAAGUACUGGCGUGUCAGUUAAUGUCGAGAACAGAAUUGAAUGUCGCUUAGCUUGCGUGAUGGAUAGAUUUAGACAGAUGGUAGAUCAUGAUUAAGGAAGAUUAAAUACUGAUUUAGAACAGAAAUAAAACCCAACUAAGCACUUUAUUUAUUAAGACCAGUAUCGUGUGGCAAUUGCCCCACAUACCGCACUCAUUACAAAAUCCAACUCAAACAUGUAGCACAAAACCAAUCAUCUAAGCACACUUUAACUAACACACUCGAACGACGUCUAACGAUUACAAGAAUUUAAACUAAAACACUCCUAAUUUCCUAGAGGUCUUCUGCGGCGGUGCCGGGCGAGUCGUAGCGGGGACGCUUAGGCGACGGCGACGAAGCGGGAUGAACAGCAAACUCCUGCGGCGGCGGUGCUCCCGUCGCGGCAGCCAUAUUCGCAUCCCUCUCCCACCGGAGUUCCUGAACCUCCUGUUGAAGCUCCUGGAUGUGGUUGUUUGCUUCAUUCAAUGCGGUGAGAGCUGCCGACGUGUACUUGCGGAGGAAGUCUGUAGCCAUGUCAACCCCAUCGUUAGUAGCGAUGAAGGUUCUUGCUUCCCCACUAGCUCGGUAAGGAAGGAACCGAUGGUAAGUGUGCUGCAAUCGCGGCCGUUCCUUGUGGGAGACGACCUCAAGUGCCCUCCUGGCGGCCUCGGCAAUGCCGGAUUCCAUGGUCCUCCUUAUGGUCACAUCAUGGUGAAAAGCCUUCACCUCCCAUCCUCCCUCGUGCUCCUCACGAAGGACAACCUUCACCUCCCAAAAAGUGGGAUAGCGAGGGUGGGUGAACCGGGAGCACUUGUAGAGUGGCCUCAUGCCGUACCCCAAGCGGUGACAAGUCCACCUGAGUAUGUCGGCCAUGUGCACUCCUUGGCCAUAAUCUUCCUUCACCCAUUUGAUCCAUGUCUCGGGCUCGGGAUCUGCUUCGGGCUCAUCAUCCGUCAAGUCGACGACCGGUACGGGCGUCGGGGCUGGUGCAGGAGCGGGCGCCGGUGCUGGCGACGGUGCUGGUGACGGCGUGGUCUCCUGCUCCACGGUCACGGCGUCCCCGUCAGAGUCAUCCCCCGGAUGCUGGAAGAUCUCUUCCUCUUCUUCCUCGUCCCAAGGCUCCAUGGGGGCGUACGACGGCGCGAUGCCAUGACGCGGCGGACGGGUGCUCUUGCGUGCGGUCAACCGGGUGCGAGCCAUCUAACAGAAAGAAAGAAGAAAAUUUUAGAAUAAAAUUUUGAACAAAGCUAGAUAAUAAAAUAGCAAUAAGGAUGAGACAAAUCAAGUUUAAGAAUAAUUAAGUAGAUUUAAAUUAAGAAAGGUAGGAAUGGCUACUAGAUUAUUAUAAUCCUUAAAUACGACCAUUUUCUAACUAGGCUAACGUCCUACAGUCAACACGGCUCUGGUACCACUUUUGUCACACCCGAUUUUAAGGACAAAAUCGAGUGCAUUAAAUACAUGUGCGCCAGGAUCAAGUUACACACAUGUACGACAAUAGUGAAUAGUAAAGCCAGUGCUAAAUCGAAUAAAGAGAGUAUUAACCAUUAUUACAUGACCGAAUGUCUCAAAUAAACCACAAAGUCUAAUUAUUACGCAGCGGAACUCCAAAGAUGACGACGACUCCAUAGGCAGCUGACUGAAGAAACGUACGCCUAGAACUCCUCGAAGUCGUGGAAGUACUCCUCUUCCCAAUUAACUUGGUCUGAACAGCGGUUUUGCAAGGGUGAGUACACUUAUGGUUGGUACUCAACAAGUCGUGGGAAGUAGUGUAGUGUAAGGCUAAUUCAAGGUAUGGCUAAGGCGUAAAUAGCAUUCGCUUUUAAUUAAGUUGGUCAAAUUUUAUUAGCAUUUACUAAGUAUAAGUUCAUACCACCCGAAAUUAAACAUGAACAUAAAGUAAACCACAUGUGCAUGAAAUGAUAACAAAUUAAAUCCAUCUUCCGAUAAUAUUAUCAUGUGAGGGUCCAGGCCGCUCUUAACCGUGAGCACGGCUGAUUGAUCAGUUUAACACUCUGCAGAGGUGGCACAUCUUUACCCACAAGUCGCGUAAAAGUUCAAAAGAACUUUGGACCCAACCAUGCGGUGUUUGCAAGGCACCAUACCACACUUCCGAGGUGUGAUUGCAUAGGGACGCUACGAGGCCUUUACAAAGAUUCAUUAAUCAGUGGUAACCCGCUAAGGUUUCGGUGUCUGGCGUGCACCACCCAUCCCAGGUAAAAUGCAACGACUCAGUCCCCCCCCUUGAAUCAUCACGAGUAAGGUCACCCCAGACUAAGGUUUCUAAUUAAUCAGCCAAGACCAGAGCUAUUUAGUCUUGUGGUAGCACUGUUUUCCUGGGUGGUCGCUCCAUGUUCUGAUUAACAAAUAAUGAUCUUGUCUUAAUGAAAGGUAUAACAGAAAUAAGGCAAGAUUAAGCAUUGUUUUUAGUUAAACCACCAUGUACCAAGUAAGCACUAAGCAUGAGCUACCCAACAUAAAGUAAACCGGUUGGUCAAGGCAAAGGUAAAACAAUCUAGGCCAACCUUAAUUGGGACCCAUCAAUUUAAUCUUAAUAUGUGCACAGCAUAAAUGUUGAGUACGAGAAAGUAAAGGUGUAUAGGACAAAAAGGUAGUGAUCAAGGACACGACUUGCCUUCUUGGCCUUGCUCCUGCUGUUCGUACUCCUCGAAGGCUUGAUCGGCAACUCCCUCGAACUGCGGGGCGUCUACACGCAUCACACGAGCACAUACAAGCAAACAUGGGCAAAAGUAAGAAAACAGUAUACCAAACAUAGUCAAACAGAGAAAACAAGCUUGAAAAGAUGAUCUACGCUUUAAAACGAACACGCGGAUAUAAAGAACGCGAAAAACGGAGUUAAGAUGCAAAAGAUAUGAUUAAAACAAAAUCCAGGGACUUUUCUGUAAGAAAAACAAAACUUUUAGGGCCUAUCCGCGAAAACCGAGGGCUUAUACGUAAUUAUGCGUAUAAACCGAGGGUCUGAUGCGUAAAAACAUCAAACCCGGACGGCGGGUUGAUUUCUGGAAAGGUCAAGGGUUAAACCGAAAAAUGCGAGGGCAGAUCUGUAAAUACUUUCAACGCGAUCUGGACCGCGGGUUGAUUUGCGAAAAAGGCGGGGGCUAAAGUGCAAAAACUGCACGGCGCGGCUCGGUUGACCGGUACGCGAUCUUGAUUGACUCGCGUCCGGCCGUCGGAUUAAGAUCCGACGGUCGCGGUGAUCCGCGACAUCGCGGCGGCGGCGGCGAGCGGCGGCGAGCGGCGGCAAGCGGCGGCGGGUCGCCGGAGUUAGGCAAAAUAGCGCCACGAGGCACGGUUUAACGCGCGGGUUGCACCAAAAAAGAGAGGGGAACACGUCGAUCCCGUUUUGGGGGUUCUUGUCGACGGGGGCUCACCGGCGACGGCGAACGGCGGCGAGGAAGAGGCGGCGGCGCUAGGAGCUCGGGCGGCUAGGGUUUCGGGGAGCUGCGGCGCUGGUUUUGGGCGGAGGAGACUGGGAGGAGGCGGCGGCUUUUAUAGGGCUUGGAGAUAGAGCCGGCGCGGGUUCAAAUCCCCCGGAGGAGUCGGAGCGGAUGGAGUCCGGGGCGGAGACGGCGCGCGGCGGUUGCGGAGUUCUGACCGGAUUCGGCCGGAGGUGGGAGACGAUGGGUGGGGUCCACCCGUCAGUGGCGGAGGGGAGCGGUAGACGGGCCGGCGCGACCGUGGGCUGGCGCGCGCUCGUGGGCUGCGGGGAGCGGGAGAGAAGCGGCGAGCGGGCGCUGGCGGAGCAGGCCGAGCGGAGGUAGAGCUGGGCCGCGGAGAAAAAGGAGGAGGCCGGCGGGCUGCUUCGCAGGCCGGUAAGGAUGAGGCGGCCGGGCCGAAGAAGAAAAAGAAAAGGAGGGACAAGGAGCUUUCGGCCGAGGGAAAAGAAGAAGAAAAAGAAAAGGAAGAAGAAAAGGGAAAAGGUUUUGGAAUUUGAAUUUAAAUCUGAAAUUCAAAAUUUGAUUCAAACUCAAGCAACCAAAAAUUAUGCUCCAGCAUGAAUGCACAAAUAAUUCCUAUGAUGAAUUAAUUGAAUUAAAGAAAAUGAAUUUAAAUGCCUAGAAAUUAAAUAACACCCUAAUUUGAGCAAAUUUUAAUGAAUUUGAAUUAUUGAAAUUUUGGGUGUUACAUUGGUACUACAUCUCAUGUAGUAGAGGCGAUUGUAAGAAGCAACUUGAAAAGAAGUUUGAUCACUACUAUUGCAAUAAAUGUGACAAGAGAGCCGAACCUAAAGCCCAGUAAAUUAUUUAGUAGUUUACAAUCUUAUUAUAAUACUUCUAUUUCUAAUAGGAGAAUAAUAUUUUCAGAUUCAAAUUAAGCUUCAAAUAAGUGAUCCAACAACAAGUGCAACUUGUGUACUUUUGACAAGGAAGCAGAAAUGAUAAUUAAUGAAUGAGCAGAUUCGAUGAUCACCUCAGUUGAUCAUGAUAAUAAGUAGCUACCAAAAUCAAUUCAGGAAAUAUGUGAAGAAACAUUGAUUUCUCAAUUCAGAUUGACCGAGUACAACUUGACAAGUUUUAGACCUGAUUAUACUGUUUCAAAGAUAUUUUUUCCAAAAGAAAAGGGCAGUUCAAGAAUUGGUAUGGAAAGUGUAAAAAAGGUAACACUUUAUUAUUAAUUUUUUAUUGCACUUUUUUCUUUUGAAUCCGUAAUACUUAAUAAUUUUACUAUAUCAAUGAAACAAAUUCUAACCUAAAUUUAUUUUCUUUUUUAUUAUUUGUAGGAAGUAGAAGACAACUCAGACAAAUGCUACACGAUAACUACCGAGAAUGAAGAGGUAGACACUGAUGACUCUUUUACCGAGAAAGUAACAUUCGUAGAAGAAGCCAUAAGGACUGGGGAAAGAUUGGCUAGAAAAGUAUACUCACUUCCAUGUCAGUGUUCAUUCUAUUUACAAUACAUGCAAAAAAAAUAUUAUUCAUGCAAAAUUGCAGGUCUACUAAGCAUUAAAGGAAUAGCGGAUAGUGCAAUAUGUAAUCUGAGCAGCAUGCAUUACAAAGUGCUCUACUGCAAUUAAAUUAAAAAACAUGAUAUAUGUUGAAUUCUUAGACUUUAUUAUUAUACUUUUCUACGUGACAAUUCACAAUUUUUUAGAAAAAAGAAGAUCCCAGAAGAAGUGACCAUGAAAAAAGGUCUAUGACCAGCAAUAAGAAAAAAUGCAAGCAUAGAAACAAAUCCGUAGAAAACAUAGAAAAUAAGGUACUCCAUAAACAAAAGUAUUCUCUUAUAUUUUUAUUAAAUAUUUUUUUAACACUUGACAAGUUCUUUUUUAGGAUCAAUAUAUCAGCAAUUCAGAUGUCAUUGGAGAUGAAACCUUAGUUCAUCCAAAAGGUCAAAAAAAAACAUCUGAAGAAAGGUGUUUGGCUGAAAAGGAAAAGCAAAAAAGUGGUAAUGCAGACAAACACAUGCAGAAAAAUAUAAAAACAUGUCAUAGGGAGGCAGACCAAUCUUGCAAGGAGGUAUAGACGAAACGUGAUACACGACCUGCCUACCUUGUCGUGGAUACCCCAAGAAGAUGUCAUAGAGGUGCAGACCAAGCUAGCAAGGAGGUCGAAACGUGAUACACGGCCUGCCUACCUUGCCGUGGAUAUUAGCCCUGAGAUCAUUCUACUGUUCAAGGAAUAACACUCAAUGCUGCUGCUGCUGCUGACCUGGCUCCAUAAAGUUAUACUCCUCUAGGUGCUUGCACUAACUUUAUCUGAAGUAUUAUUCUCUCUGCACUGUAUAUAUGGUUAUGGAGUUUGCUGGAGUAUCCGGGGCGAAGAACCUACAUAAUACGUCUUGGAACUAAUUGACAUUGAUUCACAGACAAACUCUACAAGGUGCUGUUCUUGCCAUUUUAGAGCAUCCAAAGGACUAUAAAUAACAUAGUUUACCAUAUACCAUAUACCAUAUACCAUAAUAUGUUAGCUAAAAUAAGAGCAUACACAUGUUGCAGGAGUCCAAAAGCACCGGUUGAGGACCAGGUACAUUGAAUUACUAGAAAAAGACAGGGGACAAGGUUUAGGUAACCACAUGAAACAUUUGAAUUUAUUGUACUAUGAACACUUAGUUACCAUGCCAGGAGCACAUAGUUAACACUAACAUUUAGCCACUUUAGAUCAUCCCGAAUCACCAAUGACCCUCAAUAGUGACAAAUUUUGGUUUAAAUGCCAUCACCAAUGAUCCUCAAUAGUGACGUAUUUAGGUUUAAAUCCCGUCACUAAUAACCCUCAAUAGUGACCUGUUUUGGUUUAAAUCUCAUUACCACUGAUCCUCAAUAGUGAUGUGUUUUAGCAAAACAUGUUAUCAAUGACUUGUCAUUGGUGACGUGUUAAAACGCGUUAUCUCAAUGGCAAAUCAUUGGUGACGUGUUAUCUCAAUGUUAUCAAUGUUCUAUUCUUUUCAACAAUACCAGCUCGUUCCUCCGUUUUUAUUCCACCAAUACAAGCACCACCUUGUAACAUUUCCUAUGUUUUUUUUCCUUUUGUCUGUUUUCUCACUACAUGCGUUGCUCUUUCAUGCAUUUUUUUCCAUUCCUGUAUUCCAAAUAGGUCUACAUGAACACAAAAUGAACUAGGGGACAGAAAAAGCCAGUGAAGCCAAUUUUGAGCUUCACCAGCUACUUGCUACAUAAAGUGUGCUAUAGUGACGUGUUUUAGCAAAACAUGUUAUCAAUGACUUGUCAUUGGUGACGUGUUAAAACGCGUUAUCUCACUGGCAAAUCAUUGGUGACGUGUUUUAAAAAAACAUGUCACCGUGAGAGUCAUUGGUGAAGGGUAAUUAAAAUGCGUCACUAAUGUUGUAGCAUUAGUUAUGAUAAUUUAGUAACGCAAAAAUCUACCAUCAGUAUUGAGCUUUAGAGCCAUCGCUAAUGUGGGUUUCUUACAUAGUGAUGCAAGCUCUACAAGGUGCUGUUGCUGCCAUUUUAAAGCAUCCCAUGACUACAUGUUAAUAACAUAGUUUACCAUAUAUCAUAAAAAUAUUAGUUACAAUAAGCACAUACGCAUGUGGAAGAGUCCGAAUGCACCGGUUGAGGACUAAACACAUUGAAUUACUAGAACCAAAUGUAUGUUUAGAACAAAGACAGGGGUCAAGGUUUGGGUAACCGCAUUAAAAACAUUGGAUUUUACUGUACAUGAACACUUAGUUACCAUUACCAUGCCUUGAGCACCUAGUUACAACAAACAUUAAUUUAGCCACUUUAGAGCUUCCAGAAUCGCUAUAAAUAAUAUACCUACGCCGUACCAUGAAAACAUCAAGAAGAGAGACGGAUACAUGGACCACCAUCAAGCGAGUAGUGACAGCACGCACAAGAAUACCCGGAACCUGUUAGCUUGUCUGUAGUGAUCUGUUUUCUUCCCCAUAAAAUCCAUGAGUAUUGCCACAAAUAAUGAAAGAGGCUGACCAAGCUAGCAAGGAGGUAGAGCAAACGUGAUACACGGCCUGCCAAGAUUGCCCUGGAUACGCCAAUAAGAGCGACAGAUACAUGGAUCACACCAAUAUGGUGAAACGUAUAUUCAUCACACAAGCAAAGCUGGUCAGUUUAUCCAUGGUCAAAUUGUGGUCUUUGUUUUCACUUGAGAGCUAAUUGAGGCACUAUAAUAUGGGCAGGCCUAUCUUCAACAGACAUGACAGCUACAGGGAACUUGACAUAAUUUGCUGGGCCGCCUGUGCACAAUUAUUUGUUUUAUUGUCCUUGCAUAGAAUGCUAAAAUACUCUUUACAAAAUGUUGGAUCUAAUAUUUGAAAUAUAGAGUAGUAAUCAUAUAUUGAUCAACAACUUGAAAUUAUCUGUACAUUCUCGGUGAAGCUGUUGAACUAAUUUUUGCAAAUUAUUAAUUCAUCUCAUUACGUAAAGAAAAAAGUAAGUGGAUAAGAUAUUUCGUGGACCACAUCACUGCAAACAUGUCAUGGAGAGACAGACCAAGGAGGCAGGACGUGAUACACGACUUACCCUAGGUUGCCGUGGAACCGCCAAGAAGAGAUACAGAUACAUGGACCACACCAUCUUGGGAGUAGUGACAGCAUAUAUGCAGAAGAAUACCCCGUGCCUAUUUGCAUGCAUGUCUCAAGUGAUCUGUUUUCUUCAGAAAAUACAUGAGCAUUGCCAGAAAGAAUGGCAAGAGACAAACAUGUCAUAGAGACUUGCAUGUCUUGCCUUGGAUACGCCAAGAAGAGGGACACAUACAUGGAUAACACAAAUCUAGUGACACGUAUAUUCAUCACAAAGGCAAAUCUGAUAAUUUUAUCCAUGGAGCAGACCAAGGAGAAAUUGAUGACGGACAUGUGAUCUCUGUAUUCAGUUGAAAGCUAAUUGAGCUACACUAAUAUGAGCAGGACUAUAUUCAAGAGACUUGUUGAGAGCUACAGGGAACUUGUAAUAAUUUGCUGGGCGGCCUGCGCACAAUGAUUUGUUAUACAUAGUUGAAAUAUUUCAAGAAUUUAUCAACCUCAUACUCUGAAACCCUUGGUGCAAUGUACUCUGCUUUCCGAGGUAGACUGUUCACGUAAAAUGAGGUCAUGCGUAAGACGGAAUCGGAUUGGAUUCACAGGGAAUCAGAUUUGGAUAGCACCUUUUAGCAGGUUUUUAGUCAAAUGCAAAUUCGGAUCCACAUGUGGUUGAAUGCGAGUUCAAAAUUCUACUUGGAUAUCCAUUUAAUUUAGGUGAUAGCAAUUAGCACAAAAUGUUGGAUGAACAAAAUCAUAGUUAGACAUACAAUUACAUGUAUGGUUAAAGUAUAAUACAAUACACCAAGAUUAUUCCUUGAAAAUAUUUCUUAAAAAUAUUAUAAUAAAUGAAUAAAUAUAAUUGUGGCCACCAACAAAUAGUCGGUGGUCGCUAAGUUGGAGCCAUUUCUGGUUACUAAUGCGGCCUUCUCCUCGACCAGCGACGACAGCUGAGCUUGUUCCUUCUGACACUAAAUCAUCAGAGUCUUCCCUCCACUACUAUAGAAUGCACCUUUAGCACCAAUUGGGAAAUCCCCUUCAGUAUUGGAUGCUGCAACCAGUGCUAUAUAUCAAAAUGGAGACUAAAAGCCUCGGUCUUGGGUACCGGUUGCAUAACGCAUUACUAAAGGAGGCAAAAGAGAAAUGUAACAAAAAAAAUAUUUUGAAUUCCAAGAAUGUUUCACUAUUCAAGAUGACUAGCUGAGAGUCAACAGACAAGAUACUAGGAAUGUGGGUGCUUGAAUGCAUUUGUACAGAGGUCAUACUAUUUACAAACUCUUCUAUGUUUCCAUAUGACUACCUACUUCAAUGUCACGCGAGCCAUUCAGCUGGACACAUGGCACACUAGCUUGCAUGUCGAAUCCAUGAUUAAUUAUUUGCACUUGUGAUCUCUUACCAGUAUUUGUCCAGACUAGAAACGUGCAACACAUUUUUAGGAUAUGGACACGCAUAUAUUUGGACUAGUAUACAGGUCACCUUUGGAUGCGUACAAGGAUGACCGGGAGGGACUAAUGGAUACAAGGAAGGGACCAUCAGGAUUAAUAUUGACAUAUGCCACAUGACAAUCUUCAUUGUCAUGCAAUCCCUAUCAACAAUCAUGGAAUCCCUAGUGUACUAAUCCCUGGAGGGUUGUGUGGAAAUUUAUUUUACCUUGCGGUGAAAAUCUCAUGAGCAGUCAUUAGUUAAGCUGACUAGCUGAGAUAUAAUAGACAAGCUAGUAAGAUUGGGAGCAUCAAUGCAUCCAUACAGGGUCACAAUAUCCUUUCCAUUCACUUUUAUAUAUAACCCUACGAAUACAAGUCCAACGAAAUGCGGGCCUUUCGAUCAAGAUAAAUUAAAUGGCCCACUUGUAUUUCUAAUCCAGGAUUAACUAUGCCCUCUGUUCAUCUCUUGCAAGCACGUGCAACACAUUUUCACGAUAUGGACAUGCAUGGAGGUUAUUAUACUGUUUGGACAAACUCUGAUGUGCCAUGACCUAAAUGCUUAGGGCCUGUUUGGUUUGAGUUGCUUAUUAUAAGCAACUUAAAGUUGCUUAAAGUUGCUUAUUUGAAGUUGCUUAUUUUUAGUCUAAACUGUUUGGAUACCCUUGCUUAUGAGCAUUGAAUGAGUUGGACAUUGUCAAAUUUGCCCCAUGUGUUGCUACCCCUCCAAUUUGCCUCCCCACCCUUCUUCUUCCUGCACACGUCCGAUCCCGGGGGCCGACGGCGGGCAGGGAGCAGCAGCAGCUGGCCAGGGCGGCGGUGGGGCGGGAGCGGCGGCGCACACCAGCACGCGCUCGCACGCCAGGUGCUAGGGCGCGGCGAGGCAGUCGUCGUAGCCCACCGGGAGCGGGUGCUCGGGCGCGAGGCGGUACUCGACGGAGAUGCCGAGCGUCGGGCGCGCGGCGGCGAGCGCGUUGAGGAAGCGAUGGUAGUGCGGCGACGUCGCGGACUCCGCCACGAAGCCGCCGCCGUGGACGUACACCACCACGGGCAGCUUCGUCUUGCCGUCGGCGGCCGCGGCCGCGGCCUGGGGUGGCAGGUAGAGGCGGACGGAGCAGGAGCCGAGGUCGACGUCCCUGGAGUCGACGCCCGUGGCGGCGUCCAGGCUGGGCCCGACCGGCGGCGGCACGAGCGGGCGCUCGAUGCGGCCGCUCUUGUAAAUCCGACGGGUCUGUGCGGAGGCGGGCGGCGGGCGGGAGCGGCGGGUGGGAGCGGCGGCAGGUGGUGCGGAGGCCGGCGGCGGCGGGUGGCGCGGAGGAAGGGGAGCUGGUGAGUGGUGACAGGGGAGGGGGGGAGAGAGAGGGGGGGUAGGGUGCAUUGAAUGAGGGCAGGAGGUGUAAAGUGCACCUUUUAGUCCCCAUGAGCAACCAUAAGCAGCCCAAGAGUUGCUUAUUUGCUUAUAAUAAGCAACCUCAUAAGCAAGAGUGAUUGGUUUCAUAAGCAACUUAUUUGCUUAUUUUAAGUUGCUUAUGCAUAAGCAUGUGAAACCAAGCAGGUCCUUAACCUAUGGUUGUGGCACCACACAGUACAUAGUAUUUAAUAAUGCUAUUCGUUUGGUAUGUGCACAAGGGCACGCAUGAAAUGUCUGGCCCACGGUAAACAAGUACGGACGCUGCAAAUAAUCUACUCUGCUCGUCCAGUCCCUAGCCUAUAAAUAGAUGCCAUGCUAGCUCUUGUUGUGCUCACAAUUAAUCCUGACUACACACGAGCUUCUCUCCCUGGCCAAGACACAAUCAUAGUAUGAUGAAGAACAUGGCACUAGCCGGCAAUGGUAUGAAGAACUUAAUCCUCGCUGUUCUCUUACUGUGUCUAGUUAUAGGGCAGAUACAAGUGGAAGCUAAGAGCUGCUGCCCAUCCAUUACUGCAAGAAAUAUCUACAAUGCCUGCCGUAUCACGGGUACAUCCCGUCCAACGUGUGCAAAACUGUCAGGCUGCAAAAUUAUCAGCGGGGACAAAUGCAAGCCCCCUAACGACCACCUCACCCUUGACCCGGACACUGGUAAAUAAUAAAUUUAUCUCACUUGAUUUCUUCGUGUUUUGAGUCGUUAAUGUAUUUUCCAUCUGAUGAAACGUAUUGGUUUUGCAUUGAAGAGGAAGUUAAUGUGCUUAACUUCUGCAAGUUGGGGUGUGCGUCGUCUGUGUGCAACAACAUCAACGCUGGUAAGCACCUUUUGCUCAGACGGAGAAAACAAUAAUCAUUAAUUAGCGGCAGCUAGAAUCCUAUAAUCUAAUAUAUUUAUAUAUAUAUAUAAUUUUAUCAGCUCUGGGAAAUGAAGAGGCGAACGAUGCCGUUGAGAGUUGCGACCAAGCCUGCUCUAGCUUCUGCAACGUGCACGUUGGCGCUGCCACCGUGGUUGCUUAAGCAAAUGCAUCCAACUGGAUCGUCCUUGUGCUAAAUAAUUGGAUAUCGUAUCCACUUAAAGCUGCCUUGUGUAGUACGUUUUUGUUUGUGUCUCUCUUUAUAUUCCAAUAAGGUCGGUGAUCUU
RNAcentral lists this long non-coding RNA (60705 nucleotides) under Setaria viridis. Its description in RNAcentral is "long non-coding RNA (SVIR_LNC007217)". The record is from RNAcentral. Lineage: Eukaryota; Viridiplantae; Streptophyta; Magnoliopsida; Poales; Poaceae.